This 61970-nucleotide long non-coding RNA is filed under the name Sorghum bicolor (sorghum). RNAcentral describes it as "long non-coding RNA (SBIC_LNC004591)". The stretch from base 36256 to 36362 matches the Rfam family "Plant small nucleolar RNA R71". The record is from RNAcentral. Lineage: Eukaryota; Viridiplantae; Streptophyta; Magnoliopsida; Poales; Poaceae.
CACUCUAUCUCUCUCAAUCUAGUAGAAACUAGAAGAUCUAUUUCUACCUUACAUUGGUUGCUAAGCCUAAAAAGAAAUAUUAUUUAGAGAAGAGGUUUUCCUUCGAGGGCACCCCUCAAUCUCUAUGAUAAUUUCUUGUCUUCUCCAGGGGCCAGGGGGCCUUGCUUAUAUAGUCCUCCCCUUCUAUGCGUUUUUGGGUCGAUAGGCGAGGUGGUACUAUGUUUUUCUUGAUCCAAUAGGUCGGUGGAAUAUCCCGAGCGAAAGAGUCCUGAUUUGGCUCCAACAGGGGGGCGGGCGCCCAGGCUACUAGGGCGGGCGCCCUAGGCCUGGCCCCUUUCGGGCUCCGCUUCCUUCCCGUGGCUUCUGGAGUCUUCUAGAUGGUAGAAAAUUGCGCGGUGGUUUGAUAUCUUUAUGUAAUCCCGACAUGUGGGCCUUUCUUCCUUAUUUCCUGAUAACCCCCUGCAGAAAUAGACAAACACCAAAACUCGUGGAAUUCUGUCAGAUAAAACCCUAAGUCUAUAUGUUGAUUUCAUUUGGAUCCUUUUCUUUGUUUAUUUGAUAAUUAAAUUUGAUACUUAAGGACCGUCAACAGUCGUUGUCCCGAUCUUCACAACGUAGGAUAACUAGCUGAAGAUCAGCUGAUAACUUGCUGCAAGCAGCGAGGAUAACUAGUGCAACCUGACGACACGCACAAGGAGCCAACCACCGUCUCUAUACGGCAGCCUAAACUAAGGAUUCUCCCAACCACACUCUCAAAGAACCAACCUGCACAACCUGAACUCGAGGAUCAGGAGCACGGAUUGGGUGCCGAUGAUGUGGCCGCUUCUGUAAUCUCCGCGAAGGAAAACACAAGAGCAAAGGGGUAGAGAUCUCUCUCUGAAUUUGUUAGCGCACAGCUGAACAAAGUGGUUUGUAUUCUCAAUAUCAUAAGUCUGAGAUAACAAUGAGUCUAGGGGGUAUUUAUACUAGCAACAGCCCUGCUAGAUAGGUGGAAAGUCGAAACAAAAUAGUUAAUACGAACUGUGUGAAUGGGCCUCCUCGAGACGCCUUCCUCGAGAGUUUCUGCGUGGUCGUUUUGUCUUCUGUGCAGUCUUCAAUAUUUUAGCCAUAGCUCCUUCUUGGUAACUCCAAAUGACGUGCGGUUUGUUGCAAUGGAAAGUUAACUUGAUAAGCUUUCACUCCAUGUGCAGAAUGUACCAUGAAACCUGGUAGAUUGAUACUGUUUUGCAUGGCAACUUGAACUUCAUGCAGACUGAUGACUCAAUGACCAGUGUCGACUAAAACAGGUUGGCAGCUUUACUGGCAUUACCAAACAGGUCGGUACCGGUGGUAUUAGAAAGUAGACUCGAAGAGCUUUCCAACAAGUGCUCAUGGGCCUUCAUAGUAUCUCGGAAGUGAAAGUUAUGAUCUUUUCUUUCAACUGGUCCGUUCUACACCGCACUGGUCCGAUCUGCCCUUCUUUCAACUGGUCCGUUCUGCACCGUGUUGUUCCAAUCCUUGCGGUCCAGGUCACCUCCCUCCUCAUGUGUAUACCUAAGCACAACCAAAGUAGAACACUUAAGUAGUAUAGUAUUCUCAUUAACAUUAAUAGAACUCUAAGAAAGUAGCGCGUUCACCUCUUGUUAUAGCUUCUUGGCUCGGCUAUGUGUAAUUGCUCCAUCAAUGGCUUGGGCUGGUGCCGGCGUAGUCGGUGUAGAGGUUGGCGUGGAAUUAGAGGGAGCAUGCUUGGUUGGGAUGUACUCAUCAUCCUCCCCCUCUUGAAAAGGAGUCGACCUCGACUCUAAUUCUUCUAAUCCGAAGAAUGGUGUCAAGUCAGCAACAUUGAAGGUUGUGCUAACACCAUAAUCUUCAGGAAGCUCAAUCUUGUAGGCAUUAUCAUUGAUCCUGAACAGCACUCUGAAUGGACCAUCUCCCCGUGGCAUCAACUUGGAUUUACGCUUCUCAGGAAAGCGGUCUUUGCGAAGAUGUAUCCACACUAAAUCUCUGGGCUCAAAUAUCACCUUCUUGCGAUUCUUGUUUGCCCAAUCAGCAUAGUACUUGGACCUUCUUUCGAUUGCUUCUUUGGUCUUCUCAUGAAUCUUCUUGACAUAUGAUGCACGCUUGGAUGCUUCCAUGUUAAUCCUUUCCUGCAAUGGUAGAGGCAACAAAUCGAUCAGAGCAAGGGGUUUGAAUCCAUACACAACUUCAAAAUGACACAUAUUAGUUGUAGAAUGUACUGCCCUGUUGUAAGCGAAUUCCACAUGUGGCAAGCACUCUUCCCACUCCUUUGGGUUCUUCUUUAUCAAGGCUCGUAGCAGCAUAGAAAGUGUUCUAUUCACAACUUCAGUUUGUCCAUCCGUUUGAGGAUGACAAGUGGUGGAAAACAGCAGCCUUGUUCCAAGCUUUGCCCACAAUGUCUUCCAAAAGUAGCUCAAGAACUUGGUGUCACGGUCUGAAACAAUUGGUUUGGGCACGCCGUGUAAUCUUACAAUAUCCCUGAAAAAUAGGGAGGCUACGUGGGAAGCAUCAUCGCUUUUAUGAAAAGGUAUAAAAUGUGCCAUUUUAGAGAACCGAUCAACUACAACAAAAUUUGAAUCCAUUCUCCUCUUUGUCCUAGGUAAACCCAAAAACAAAAUCCAUGCUAAUAUCUUCCCAAGGGGUACUAGGAAUAGGCAAGGGAGUAUAUAAUCCAUGAGGGUUCAGUUUUGACUUAGCUUUGUGACAUGUGAUGCAUCUUUGCACAAGUCGUUGGACGUCUCUUCUCAUCUUUGGCCAGUAGAAGUGAUCAGCUAGCAUCUCAUAUGUCUUUCUCCAUCCAAAGUGACCCAUCAAUCCACCUGCAUGUGUUUCCUGCAGCAACAAAAGCCUAACAGAGCAGUGGGGUACACACAAUUUGUUAGCUCAAAACAAAAAUCCAUCAUGUAUAUGAUAUUUUCCCACCCUUUUCCAGUUGUACAGUUUGCAAAUGGUUCUGAAAAUUCAUGAUCAGUAGGGUACAAUUCUUUUAUGCUUUCAAGUCCUGGAACCUUGACAUCUAGUUGAUUCAACAAAACAUUUUUACGUGACAAAGCAUCAGCAACAAUGUUUUCUUUACCUUUCUUAUAUUUCACAACAUAUGGAAAAGUUUCAAUGAAUUCAACCCAUUUGGCAUGUCUACGAUUCAGUUUUGCUUGCCCCUUUAAAUAUUUCAAAGCCUCAUGGUCUGAAUGAAUAACAAAUUCUUUUGGCCAUAAAUAAUGUUGCCAAGUCUCAAGAGCUCUUACCAAAGCAUACAAUUCUUUGUCAUACACCGAGUAGUUCAGUUGCGCACCUCCUAACUUCUCACUGAAGUAUGCAACCGGCUGUCCAUUUUGCAUUAGGACACCACCGAUUCCGAUCCCACUUGCAUCACAUUCAACCUCAAAGGUUUUAGUGAAAUCCGGUAACACCAGCAAGGGGGCUUCGGAUAGCCUCUUCUUCAAUUCUUGGAAUGCUCUCUCUUGUGGUUCACCCCAUUGGAAGGCAACACCUUUCUUUGUUAACUCAUUCAACGGAGCAGCUAUGGUGCUGAAAUCUCUCACAAAUCUCCUGUAAAAACCAGCAAGUCCAUGAAAACUUCUCACCUGACUCAUAUUUUUAUGGAGUUGGCCAAUCCUUGAUUGCUUUCACCUUUGAUUCAUCAACCUGAAUUCCUGAACCUGAAACAACAAAACCAAGAAACACAACCUGAUCUGUACAAAAUGUGCACUUCUCAAGGUUAGCAAAUAUUUUUUCUUUUCUUAGCACAUCCAAAACUUGCUUAAUAUGAUGAACAUGUUCCUCCAAUGUCUUGCUGUAAAUUAGAAUAUCAUCAAAGUAAACAACAACAAACUUUCCAAUGAAUGCUCGCAAGACUUGGUUCAUCAAUCUCAUGAACGUACUAGGGGCAUUGGUCAAACCAAAAGGCAUAACUAACCAUUCAUACAGCCCAAACUUUUUUUUAAAAUCAGUUUUCUAUUCAUCUCCAAUCUUCAUUCUAAUUUGAUGGUAACCACUUCUCAAAUCAAUUUUAGAAAAUAUCAUAGAACCACUCAAUUCAUCAAGCAUAUCAUCUAGCCUAGGAAUAAGACGACGAUAACGAACGGUGAUGUUGUUUAUGGCUCUACAAUCUACACACAUCCUCCAAGAACCAUCUUUCUUUGGCACCAAAAUCAUAGGAACAGCACAACGACUUAAACUUUCUCGCACAUAUCCUUUAUCUAAAAGUUCUUGUACUUGCCUUUGAAUCUCCUUAGUUUCUUCUGGAUUGGUGCGGUACGCUGGACAGUUUGGAAGUGCAGCUCCAGGGAUGAGAUCAAUUUGAUGUUCAAUACCGCGCAAAGGAGGAAGUCCAGCAGGUGUUUCCUUUGGAAAAACAUCUUCAUAGUCCUGCAAAACAUGUGCAACAACACUAGGGACAGAUGUUAAGUCAUUAGCUGAAAGCAAUGUGUCCUUGCACACAAGUACAAAUAGUACUUGCUCUGGGUUUUUCCUCACAUCUCUCAUUUCAGAUUUGGUGGCUAUCAUCACAAAGUUCUCUCCCUCUCUUUUUCUAUCAUCUCUCAUGUUUGGCCUGUGGCUCUCACUCACUGAUUUGUGGAGGGCACUCAAAUUAUUUUUCUCUCCUUUUGCACUCUCAUUCCUCACUUCGGAGCUCUUUUGCAAGUGCUCAGCUAGGAUUUGCUGCGGUGUCAUGGGUUUAAGAAUCAACUUCUUGUUCUUCCACUUGAUGGUGUAUUGAUUGGUUCUACCACAAUGUAGAGACGAUCGAUCAUAUUGCCAUGGUCUUCCCAACAGCAUGUGGCACACUGUCAUAGGCGCCACAUCACACUCUACAGUGUCAAUAUAUUCACCAAUUAUCGAGGGUAUCAGUAAGGGGUAUCCAAACUGAUGCACAUAACGAGAUUAUCCGUGCACAAAUCAAGGCCCACAACUCGACGCUCUAGUCAGCCACACAUACAGUCAUCGACGACCGUAGCCUCGAAGACGGAAAAGGCGUCGAGCGAAUCGCUCAGGGGUCGAGCGUCGACUACCGUCGAAUGCGGGAAUGGGCACGAGCGAAUCGGGAAGCGUCGAGCGCAAGGACACUGUCCGCCGCCUGACGCACGCACGAGAGCCAGGGCAUUUAAUGCGCCUAACGCUUUCCCACCUAACACGCUGGUCACGGGAAGCGUGAUAGGCAACAGGCACCCGUCCCGUCGUUCUUUUUGCAGCCUUCCCCACCAAACGACCCAGGGCGUGUCAGGACAUGGGAAACAGGGAUGGAACAUCUAAACAGGACCCCCUCGAGACAACCAAGGUCAGCGCUCCGGAUAUCAGGGCAUUGCACGGCGUCUGACCCUCGACCAGACAUGGUUCCUUCCUGGGGACGAGUUGGGCGUUGACUGACAACACCGCAACCACUCCGCCGGAUCUGCCGCCAUAUCGUACAGGCAUGCGACCGGUGAACCAGCCCAAGACGGCGCGUAGAGCAGGAUACAGGAGCACGCGUAAUCAUCAUCAAGCUACCGAGACGGGACGGCUCGAGAUCACGCCGGUACGGAGGCCUUGAGUAGGUCAGCGCGCCAUGCUUCUAUCGACCCCUACUCUGACACCUAUGCAUGUACCCUAGGUCUCUCCUUGGUGCUAUAAAAGGAAGGACCCGGGAAUAGAUAGCGAUCACGCAACACUACAUCCAUACGCAGUAGAACUCCCAUACUCCAUACCACGCUUGUAUUCGCCCCUGUACAAGCACUUAGGUGCAAGAUAAUACAAACUUCCCUCCCUCGCUGGACGUUGGGCCUUCUUUUGCCCGAACCAGGAUAAAUCUCUGUGUCUUCUUGCAUCACCAUCUUGGAAAGGGAGCACGCAUACAAAUUUACUCGUUGGUGUGACCCCCCGUGGGGAAAACACCGACACCAAUCUUGAAUGGAACUUUCACUCUUUGUGCAAUCUUAAUAGAACCUGAAUUAUUAAGCUAUUGCACAUGAUAUGGAUGGGGAUGUUUCAGCAGCUUCAACCCAAGCUUUUCAACCAUUUCUUUGCUUGCAAGAUUGUGGCGACUGCCACCAUCAAUGAUCACUUUGACAACCAUAUCUUGCACAUUAGCUCUAGUCUAAAAAAGAUUGUGCCGCUGUCCAUUUUCAGCAUCGCUCAUUUGUACACUCAAAAUCUGAGUUACAACAAGAGCAGCGCCAGAUUCAAAUUCACAGAUGUCCUUCUCAAGAUUACUCUCACUUCCACUAUCUUCUUGUUCUUCCUCACUAGCAGAUUCAUACUCCCCUUGAUCAUUCACAAUGAUGGUUCUAGUGUUUGGACACUCUCUUGCAACAUGACCAUGACCACCACACUUGAAGCACUGAAUUCCACUACUCUUGCUGGAAGAACCCAUUGAGUUUGCUGAUUUGAAUUUCUCAUUUUGAGCAGCCAACUCUUUGCUACUAGAAGAACCAAGGUUGCUAGUUCGUGCACCACCGUUUGAGCUGGAAAAUGUACCUUUACUUCCACUUCCUUUGGGUGCAAAUUUACUUCCACUUGCUGCACUCUUUGUGCUGAAAGAUACUCUUCUAGUGGACUUCAUAUCCUGCUACAAUUGUCGCUCAGCUUUGCUAGCUUGAUGCACCAUCAACAAGAUUAUGAUAUUGCUGAAAUUCAACAAUGCGUUGAAUAUUCCGAUGCAGCCCUGACAUAAAUUUUGCAAUUGUUUGCUCUUCAUCUUCAAUUACAUUGGCUCUAAUCAUCGCCUUCUCCAUCUCUUUAUAAUACUCAUCAACACUGAGGCUUCCUUGCUUCAGAUUCUGUAGCUUGUUGUCAAGGAUACCAGUAAGGGGUAUCCCAACUGAUGUACAUAACGAGAUCGUCCGUACGAAAGUCGAGAUCCCUGUACAAGCACUUAGGUGCAAGAUAAUACAAACACUCCCCCCCCGCUGGACGUAGGGCCUUCUCUUGCCCGAACUAGGAUAAAUCUUUGUGUUUUUUCUUGCAUCACCAUCUGGAAAGGGGAGCACGCACUAGUUUUACUCGUUGGUGUGACCCCGCGGGAGGAAACACCGACAGUUGGCGCGCCAGGUAGGGGUCCUGCGUGUUUAUCAUCGAUUUCCCACUCCUUUCCAGAUGGCCACUCUCGCUUCGCCGAUUCUGCGCUCCACGAUGAUUUGGUUUGGGAGUCUUGAGUUCAUGUCGACUGGCUCCGGCUAUGACAUGAUCUUACUCUCGAUCAAAGGACCAGGAGGAGCCUGCGUUGCGCCAGCACGGUUGAGGGCCCCGAGACGCCCUCGCCACCACGCCUCCCCGCCCAAGAAGAGGCAUGGAUAGCAUCAUCGUCGCCCCUCUGCCUCGUCACGACCAGCAGUUCGUGCUAGGCAAGAGGUGACACAGGAGUCGGCAGCCCCGCGUGCCGGAACUGUGGACAUGCCGGUUCAGCGUCACACGACGACAAGAGGUGACACACCCGCCACCAGGUUACUUCCACAUGGGUUGUUCACUCCAAGAAGGGCACUGCCAUUCGGAUUGGACAACGCCAUGGCGUCGCUCGCCAGAGCGAUAUGCCCAAAUGCCCAGACGUACGUAGAGAGACCAAUGGUUCUCCCGCGUAACUCUGAAGCACAGCAGCCGACGUCCGAGCUGCCGGAUUUCUCCCAGGUAUGAGGCCUCCGUCGCCUAGGCCCUGGACGAUACACGAUCACCUCGCUCAGGCAACGACUAUUGGAGGAGGGACAUGGAUGUUUCUACGCCGCCAAGCCGGACUCCGACUCCGAGACCGAUAGCUACGACCCUACUAGGGAAUUCUAUCACAUCGACGGGGCAGUAGAAACUACCGACAAGACGCAGGACGCAGCUGCGGGCGGUGGAGCCCCUGCAGCAAGGGAAGACCCCAGGACGCCUGGGAACGGCGGACAGGUCGACCCAAUUCCACAGGAAGACAGGGCUGCGCAGCUUGCGCAGCUACGAGAGCUCAAGACAAAGCUCGACGAAGACCGUGAGCGCCUCGUCCUGCUCGAGCAAAUCCUCGAACAAGACUUGCCUUACCCACCCGGCGGAAGUGUCCGUAGGCGAGCUCGAGAGGUACACCGGCAAAUCGUCGAAGACGCGGAGCCAGAGCAACCCGUCAGCUGCUUCCCUCGAGCAGGCCAGAACAUAGUGGUAGCAACGAUGCUGCUACGCAACAUGCCAGAGCCAUCGAACUCCCAAGCUCGACGCAUUCGAGACGAGGUGCAGACUCUGCUCCAGGUAGCGGCGGUUCAAUAAGCCGAAAGCUCGGCUUCUCGACGACGAGGAGCCGCCAUUGAAAAGCGCGAUGAGCCGCCCCAAAACGAAAAGGAGGUGUUAGUCCAUCAACAGUCACCCCCUCAAGGAAGAAAGACCACUCUCGUCCUCCCUGUCGACAAUCAGCGUCGACACGACGCGCGGCAUGACAUCGAAGAGAAUCGACGUCGUCGGUGUGGGGAUGCGGAAGAGCGCGGUUACAGCGCACAUCGCGGAGGGAGGUACGACACCGACGAGGACCGGAUGGCGCCCGAGCCACCAGGCCCACGGGUGUUCAGCAGGGCAAUCCGCAGCACGCCCCUGCCCAGUCCAUUCCGACCCCCGACCAGCAUCGCAAAAUACAAUGGUGAGACCAAACCAGAGUUGUGGAUGGCCGAUUUUAGGCUGGCCUGUCAGCUAGGAGGCGCUCGAGGAGAUGAUCGAGCCAUCAUCAGACAGCUACCGCUCUUCCUCUAUGACACCGCCCGUCGGUGGCUCGAGGAACUUCCAGCUAAUCAGAUCCACGACUGGGUCGAUUUGGUUAGAGUCUUCGAGGGUAAUUUCAAAGGAACCUACAUAUGGCCCGGAAACUCGUGGGACCUCAGCAAAUGCAAAUAGAAGUCAGGAGAAACUCUUCGAGAGUAUGCUCGACGCUUCUCAAAACAGCGCACCGAGCUGCCACAUAUCCCCGACCAUGACGUCAUCCUGGCAUUUGUCUCUGGUACCACCAGUCGAGACUUGGUGUGGGAAUUGGGUCGGAAUCGACCUCAGACCAUCGAUGAGCUCAUGGACGUAGUGGCCAACUACGCAGCAGGAGAGGAAGCAGUCGGUGCCUUCUUCAGUUGUGAAGCAAGGAAAGGCAAGCAGCCUGCCGAUGAAGACGGGACCCUCAGUCGAGGGCUCAAGAAGAACAAGAAGAAGCAGAAAGUGCGGCAGUUCAAGCAGGAGAACUUUGACGACGACCUCGUCGCCGCCAUGGAGCGAAAGAAGCCUCGAGGCCCCCAGAUGGAGGAAUCUUCGAUAAGAUGCUAGAGGAACCUUGCCCUUACCAUAAAGGAGGAGCCAACCACAAGCUCAAGGACUGUCGUAUGCUGAAAAAGCAUUUCGACAGCCUGGGGUUUAGAAAGAACGCACGCGAUGACCCAAAGAAGGAGAAGGGCGGCGACAAGGAGGGCAACAAGGACGACAAUGGUUUCCCUGCCGUCCACGACUGCUACAUGAUCUAUGGUGGGCCCUCGAUGCAGUUGACUGCGAGACAGCGCAAGAGGGAACGCCGCGAGGUCUUCGCGGCAAGAAUGGCGGUGCCCCAGUACCUCAGCUGGUCGAGCACACCCAUCACCUUCGACCGAGAGGACCACCCCGACAAGGUGGUUGCCCCAGGCGUCUACCCGCUCGUCGUCGACCCCAUCAUCGUCAACACCCGGCUCUCGAAGGUGCUAAUGGACGGAGGCAGCAGCCUCAACAUCAUCUACCUCGCGACCCUCGACCUCCUCGGCAUCGACAGGGGACGGCUUCAACCAAGCGCCGGUGGUUUCCACGGUGUUGUGCCGGGGAAAAAGGCGCUGCCAGUAGGUCGAAUCGACUUACAGGUCUGCUUUGGCACGGCGGCCAACAUCAGGAAGGAGACCCUCACCUUUGAGGUGGUCGGGUUCCGGGGCACGUACCACGCCAUCAUCGGGCGCCCGGGCUACGCCAAGUUCAUGGCUAUACCCAACUACACCUACUUGAAGCUAAAGAUGCCCGGUCCCAAAGGCGUCAUCACUGUUAGCUCCUCCUUCGAGCACGCUUACGAAUGCGACGUCGAGUGCGUCGAGUAUGGGGAGGCGGUCGAGAACUCCACCGAGCUCAUCACAAAACUCGAGGCCCUGGCCGCUGAGGCUCCAGAGCCCAAACGCUAUGCGGGUAGCUUCGAGCCGGCAGAGGGAACCAAGAAGAUCCUGCUCGACCCCAACAACUCCAACGGCAAGGUGCUGACGAUCAGCGCCGACCUCGACCCCAAAUAGGAAGCUGUGCUCGUCGACUUUCUCCGUGCGAACGCCGACAUGUUUGCAUGGAGUCCCUCUGACAUGCCAGGCAUACCGAGGGAAGUCACCGAGCACUCCUUGGAGAUUCGAGCCGGUUCCAAGCCAGUGAAGCAACGGUUGCGCCGAUUCGAUGAGGAGAAGAGCAAGAUCAUUGGCGAGGAGGUCCACAAGCUUUUGUCGGCCGGAUUCAACAAGGAGGUUCACCAUCCCAACUGGUUAGCAAACCUUGUACUAGUUAAGAAAAAGAAUGGGAAAAUGAGGAUGUGUGUCGAUUAUACGAGUUUAAAUAAAGCAUGUCCAAAAGUUCCCUUUCCGUUACCACGUAUUGAUCAAAUUGUUGAUUCUACUGCAGGAUGUGAAACCCUUUCUUUUCUUGAUGCAUAUUCUGGUUAUCAUCAAAUAAAAAUGAAAGAGUCCGACCAGCUCGCGACCUCUUUCAUCACGCCUUUUGGGAUGUAAUUCUAUGUAACCAUGCCGUUUGGGCUUCGAAAUGCGGGAGCCACAUACCAACGCUGCAUGCUCCACGUAUUUGGCAAGCACAUAGGGUCAACGGUCGAGGCCUAUGUCGAUGACAUAGUCGUCAAAUCAAAGCGGCAAGGAGACCUGAUCCAGGACCUCGAGAUCGCCUUCAGCUGCUUACGCGCCAACCGGAUUAAGCUCAAUCCCGAGAAAUGUGUUUUUGGCGUGCCUCGUGGCAUGCUCUUGGGUUACAUUGUUUCCCAGCGCGGCAUCGAGGCCAACCCCGAGAAAGUCUCGGCCAUUACAAGAAUGGGGCCGAUCCGAGACAUCAAGGGUGUGCAGAGAGUCACGGGAUGCCUAGCGGCGUUGAGCCGUUUCAUCUCGAGAUUAGGAGAAAAGGCGUUAUCGCUGUAUCGACUUCUGAAGAAAGUCGAGUGUUUUUCUUGGACCCCCAAGGCCGAGGAGGCCCUCAAAAAUCUGAAGAAAACACUAACCUCAGCACCAGUCCUAGUCCCACCUCAACCUGCGGAACCACUGCUCCUUUACGUUGCCUCGACGACCCAGGUUGUUAGUGCAGCGGUGGUGGUCGAAAGGCAAGAGGAGGGUCAUGCGCUGCCAGUCCAGAGGCCAGUCUAUUUCGUCAGCGAGGUGCUCUCGGAGACCAAGGCACGCUAUCCCCAAAUCCAGAAGCUGAUCUAUGUCGUAAUCCUCGCCCGCCGUAAGCUGCAGCACAACUUCCUCGGCCACCCUAUCACGGUAGUCUCGUCUUUUCCCCUGGGCGAGAUAAUCCAGAGUAAGGAGGCCACGGGAAGAAUGGCUAAAUGGUCGGUCGAGCUCAUGAGUGAGACUCUCACUUACACGCCUCGCAAGGCUAUCAAAUCGCAAGCCCUGGUGGACUUCGUCGUGGAAUGGACAGACUCCCAGCUUCCCCCGACUCCGGUCCAGUCGGAGCUGUGGACGAUGUAUUUCGACGGGUCACUCACGAAGAUGGGGGCCGGGGCCGGCCUGCUGUUCAUCUCGCCCUUGGGCAUCUAGAUGAGGUACGUCAUCAGGAUUCAUUUUGCCGCGUCCAACAAUGUCGCAGUGUAUGAGGCCCUCGUCAACGGUCUCAAAAUCGCCAUCUAGCUAGGAGUCCGACGACUCGACGUCCGAGGCGACUCCCAGCUCGUCAUCGACCAAGUGAUGAAGACUUCAAGCUGCCAUGACCCGAAAAUGGAGGCGUACUGCAAAGAAGUCCGUCGACUCGAGGACAAAUUCCAUGGCCUUGAGCUCGUCCAUGUCACCCGACGCUACAACGAGGCAGCCGACGAACUCGCCAAGAUCGCGUCGACCCGAGGCACGGUACCACCUGACGCGUUCUUGAGAGAUCUUCACGAGCCAUCCGUCGACUUAGGCUCAAGGGCUGGCGUCGAUGUCGCUCCUGCCCAGCCAACCGACACCGUCGACGCACUAUUGAUGGCAGCUGAGGUGAUGGAGGUAGAACAGCGGCCCGGUCGACCGUUCGACUGGCGCACGCCGUUCCUCGACUGCCUAAUCCGCUGCGAGCUGCCACAAGAUCGAUCUGAGGCCCGCCGUAUCGCUCGACGGGCCAAGUCAUAUGUGAUUUAUGGCGAAGGCAAUGAGCUAUAUCGACAAAGCCCGACGGGGGUCUUCCAGCGUUGCAUCACAGUGGAAGAAGGCCGGAAACUCCUCGAGGACCUACACUCGGGGGCUUGCGGCCACCAUGCUGCUCCACGGACCCUCAUAGGGAACGCCUUCCGACAAGGUUUCUACUAGCCAACGGCCGUAGCAGAUGCCAUCGAGCUCGUACGCUCAUGUCAUGGGUGCCAAUUCUAUGCCAAACAGACGCAUCUGCCCGCCCACGCUCUUCAGAUGAUCCCCAUCACAUGGCCAUUUGCGGUGUGGGGGCUCGACUUAGUAGGGCCCCUACAAAAGGCGAAAGGAGGGUACACCCACUUGCUGGUGGCCAUCGACAAAUUCUCCAAAUGGAUCGAGGCUCGACCCAUCACCAACAUCCGCUCCGAGCAGGCCGUCCUUUUCUUCACCGACAUCACCCACAGGUUUGGGAUUCCCAACGUCAUCAUCACCGACAACGGCACUCAGUUCACCGGCAAAAAGUUCUUGGACUUCUGCGAUCAGCAUCACAUCCGUGUGAACUGGUCUGUAGAAGCCCACCCUCGAACUAACGGCCAGGUCGAGCGUGCCAACGGCAUGAUUUUGCAAGGACUCAAGCCAAGGAUCUACAAUCGCUUGAAGAAAUUCGGCAAGAAGUGGGUCGAGGAGCUUUCCUCGGUCCUAUGGAGCAUAAGGACAACACCAAGCAGGGCCACAAAAUACACCCCAUUCUUCAUGGUCUAUGGCUCUAAGGCUGUCCCCCCCACAGACCUCGAGUAUGGGUCCCCUUGACUUAAAGCGUACAACGAGCAAUCAAAUAAGGAGACUCAAGAAAACACGGUCGACCAACUUGGGGAGGCUCGAGACAUGGCCCUCCUUAACUCUGCCAGAUAUCAGCAGAAACUUUGACAUUACCACGACAAGCACGUGUGCAAGAGGGACUUAAACGUGGGUGACCUUGUCCUAUGACGGCGGCAGAGCAAUCAAGGACGCCACAUGCUAACUCCACCUUGGGAGGGCCCAUACGUGGUGGCCGAGGUCUUGAAGCUAGGGACAUACAAGCUCGCGGACGAAAAGGGAGCGAUCUUCACCAACGCUUGGAACAUCGAACAGCUACGUCGAUUCUACCCCUAGAAUUUCAAAGCUUUGUGUUCCUACGUACGUUCUGUAUCGAGGCUUUGUAAAUGAAUGCAUGAAUAAAUAAAGUCUUUCCCUCGAGCGACUCCUUUUUGUACCGAGACUUUACAAGUCGAAAUCUCGACGUUAGAAGGGAGUACCGACUAUGACCCAUCAUAGUCGGCAACCCCUCGGGGGCUACCAGGGGGGCGCCCCCCCAAGUGUCGAAAAAGCCAAGAAAUUCUCUCUUCCUUACUUAGUAAACCUUGCACGUUUGAGUAGUUGAGGCGCCUCGAGCCCCUUGAGGGCCGAGGGACAAUGAGCCUGAGAACUCCUAUGCCCCCCGGCUAUGGAAAACUCUACUCACUUCCGCACCCUUGAGGUGACCGAGGCUGUUUUUGACAAAAGAUCGAACAAGGAAUAAAAACAUAGGCGCAAAGGGAAAUAAAAGAGCCUCGAGCGGAAAGACAGAUAAACAUUUAACAAAUACUUAAAAUCACUUAAAAAACAAGUUAAUAAGAGUACUAUACAAGGGGCCCCAGGCACCCAAAGCAGGCUCGCAGGCCUUAGUCUUCAGCACGAUCCUCACCACCGUCGCCUGCGCCCGAGCUAGUCUCAGGAGGAAGCACCUCAGGCUCAAAUAGCUUGGCCAGCCUCUCUCCAGGAACCUCCGCGUCGUCGAUCAAGGCGUGGAGCCUCUCUUCGUUCUCCACGUCGGUCUUAGAGAUGUCGGUGACAAAGCCGUGGGACACCACCUCCAUGUCGUAGGAGAAGCCCGAGCAGACAACCGCCAUCGCCCGCUUCACCCCGAUGUGGAGGGCAUCCCACACCCGAUCUCGCAGCGUCGCGCCUAAGUAGCACAGCUGGUCGACCAGUGCGUCGCCUCGAGCGUCCUCCUUCGACUCGUCCAUAGGCUCGAUCUCCCAAGAGGUCGAGAGGUCGCUUAUCGCCGUCCACACUUGACGGUUCAAAGCAACCUCCGCCUCGAGCUGGGCCUUAGCACUACGAGCCUCGACUUGGGCGGCUAAGAGUUCGUCCUUAAGCCCUAUAAAUGCCAAUACAAGAAAUUUUAGGAAAAACCAAGCAAACCUUGAAAAAGAAAUCCGAUAAUGGGAACGUACCGCGGACAGUCUCCUCCAGGGCUGUGUUCUCGCCGACUAAUCUGGUGUUGGCCCUCUCAAUCUCUUUGUUGGAGCAUGCCAGCUCAGUGUUGGCAACGCGGAGAUCCUCGAUCACCUUGCCAGCCUGAGCAAUGGCCCCACUCUUCUCCAACAGCUCUCCCUUCAGACGUUCGACGUCGUCAGAGAGCCUGCGGGAUCGAGCCCGCUCUACCUCGAGGUCUUCGAGGGCCUUCUUCUUUGCGUCCUCUGCAGCACCCCUGGCGACCUCGCAGUCCACAUACGCCACCUUCAUCUUUUGGAAGGAUUCUCGGAGGGAGUCCAGGUCGGUCUUGAGAAAGCCAUUCUCCUUGUCCAGAUCGGCAAUGACAUUCUUGUAGGACAGGGCCUCCUCCCGGGCUUUGGAUGCGGCCUCCUCGACCGUCAGAGCCCGCUCCCACAGCAGCGUCGUCUCCUCCUCCGCCUUCCUUGAGGCCUCUCGAGCCUCGACCAAGGCAGCCUCCCUCGCCUUUUUCUCCUCCUCGAGCGCUAUGAGGUCUUUAUAGGCCAUAAGGAGCUUUUCUUGCGACUCGAGGAGUUGGUCCUUGAGGACGGGGAGCAGCUCCCAGCCUCCUCUUGUGGCGUGAAUGAAGCUCGACUUGAUACGGGAGGUCUCUUUCAUGUCCUGCGAGCUGGGGGUCGAACGGUUAGAACACGAAACCAAAGGAUCUAUGAGAAUUAAAGACCGAAAAAUACUUACGAAGUAGGCCGGCCCAAGCCUGUUGUUGAUGACGUCCGACAGGAGCCCCACCACGUGCUUCAUCCAAAGGCGGAGCUCCUCGACGUGUUCCCAUUUCUCCGCCUCCUCGUCCAGGAAGAUGUUGGGCUCGGACGGAUCGGUGGAAGCCCGGAUGUGGAUCCGAUCGGGGCACCAGUUCUCCAUCUCCCGGUCAGCCCGCACCUUGACGCCACGGAUAAGGUCCUCGACGGUCUCGAGGGAGCCCCCAUGGCGCAAGAACAGGUCGACGAGGCAUGGUAACCGCCCGUCGUCUUCCACCGUCUUCCAGGUACCGUCCUUACUCCCCGACGUCCCGAUCUUGUCCUCCUCAGAGGGAAAACGGUCCUCCCACGUCCGACGCUCCCGGAGGAACCCUGAGGCGAUCCCGUCCAUGCCGUAGAUCGUCCUCUUGAUCUUGGACACGGGGUCGGCGGGGGUGCGCAUCAUGCAGGCAAGUGCCACCACACCGUCCGCUGGCCCCGGCUCUGCCCGGAUCGCGGCGGGCGCCCCCGGAAGGAGCCACGCUGGGGUUGGAGGGCCGUACACCGGCAAAUCCUCUUCCUGUUCUCCGGGCUCUUGCAGCGCCGGUGGUACUGGUUGGGGCAGACCUUGAGGCGGGGGCUCGAGCGGUCCUUCUUCUUAGCCCCCCUGAUGCUGCUGCUGCUGCCCCUCGAGCAUCUGCUGCUGUUGCUCCACCUGCUGCUGCUGCUGUUGUUGCUGCUGCUGGUGUUGUUGUUGCUCCUCGUGCUCCUGCGGCUCUCAUUGGCGGCCCUGCUCCUGCAGCUGCCGCCUUGCCUCGCGCUCCCACUCCUCCUCCUCUUCUUUCCUCUUCUGCUCCUCGAGGGCGCGAAGACCAGCAGGCCAGGGUGUCCGUCCCGCGUCGAGAGAAGUCGACGCCUCCUCAUCCAUAGGGCGUACAUCCCUCGACGUCUCGUUGCCGCCAGACGUGUCGCUAAUAGUAAUGGGAUCCCCCUCGACCCCGAUUGGGGAGGCUCGGGGGCUCCCUCUUGCCCCUGGGUCUGGGGGACCUCGGCCCGUGUCGGCGGCGACGGGGCAAGCUCGGGACGAGGCUGGGCGCUCUCAGCGUCGGCCAGAGGCUGAGAGUUGGAGGAGCCUAUAAAACAAAGAAUAAAGGUCGGUCACUGAAAUGACCAACGUAAGAACAUCACAAGUCCCAGAGGUAAGCCACAAACCUGGCUGCUUGGAGGCUGCUCCCGCUUUGAGCCUCUUCGCCAUUGAAGGCUGAGCCUGCUCGAGCGCCCGCUUUAAUCUGAAACAAAAGGAACAAGCGUAAAAAGACCAGUAUACGAGGAAACGCAGAGGAACAGGAGAACAAAAGUCACAACGUCGAAGAGCUUACCCCACGGGGAGAACAGCUCGCCUGCCGGUGCCCCGACCGGUGGGCCUCGAGCCACCCCGUGUCAAGGUCCCAGACCCCUCGAGGACUGGCGUUGGCCUUGGCCUAGCAACUUCCGCUUGGGGGGCACCGGGACUAGCGCUCCUGCGGCCAGUGUCUCCUUUCUCGGAGGCCGCGGCACGACCGCGAGUUAGUGGCCCUGUCGCCUGGGGCCUAGCAUGGCCACCCGUCUUGGGCGUGGGGGGAGGGCGCGGGGCGACCUGACCAGUCGCAGGCACCGGGGGGGUGUCGGCACGAGGGCGGUGAGAUCCGCCUGGUCCCUGUUUUGGUGUUUCCGUCCGCGGGGCAUCGACGUCGCCUCGAGGCGGACCCUCGAGGAUGCGGUCGAGGCGAGACACCAUCCCCUCGGAGUCAUCGCUGUCCUCGUCAUCAUCACCAUCAUCGUCGCUGGGGGACUCUUCCUCAGGCUCUCCCCUCUGCGUGGAGUUAGACCGAUGCGCCUCUAAUGCUUGGCGGUCGAGGUUUUUCUUUUUCUCCCCUUUCUUCUUAGAGUCCUUGGCGGACUUCAGCUUCUUGGCGGACCGGCCCCGCGCGUCACGGUCAACCUCGUCCUCCUUUACUGGAGGCCUCGAGGACCGGACAUCAAUCCGUCCCUGCCAGAACAAAGGUGGACUUAGAAAAAAGGGAAGAAAAGAAACCCAGAAUCGAAGCUACGCACGAAAAGAAAGCAUACCAGACCGAUCGAGCCCGCAUCUGGCCUCAUGGGGAUGCCGUUAACGUGCUCCGACUUGAAGUCACCAGCAAUGGCGGCCCUGACCCAGGCCACGACUUCGUCGUUCGCUGGAGCAUCGCUUGACAUCCGGCAUGCCUCGAGGUCCCGGGUUGAGGCGCCGGGAGCCAUCUCGUCCAUCCUCAGCGGUCGAGACAUUAACGGGAGAACUCUCCGGUGAUGGACGACCGGGAGGACGACGGCGGCCGUCAAGCCUUCCGAGCGCAGUUUCUUCAUGACGUCGAGGAGGGGGUCGAGCCGAGAUUGAUGAACCUGGACGACGCCGUACGUCCAAUUCUCCGGACACUCCGUGAUCAGACGCCCGGUGUAGGCGGGCAGGAUGUCGUCGUCGUUUCUUAAGUAAAACCACUGGGAAUCCCAGCCGGCGUGGUUGGUCGACAGUCCCACCGGGAUGUACUCGCGUGACCUCUCCAUCUUCCCGGUCUUCAACACGAGGUUGAGGCAACCCGCCCGAACAGGUUUCCUCACGCCGGUUGUCCCAGUGGGGGCGUUGAAGAGCUCGCCCCUAUAGAGGUGGAGCCACAGCUCCUAGUGGGGCAUCAUCCCCAAAUAGCCCUCACACACCGCGGCGAAGACCGCCGUGAUGGUGAUGGCGUUUGGGGAGAAGUGCAGAAGCUCCACCCCGUAGUGGUGGCAGAGCGCCGGCAUGAAGCGGCUCGGGGGAGCUCCCAGUCCAUGGCGGUGGAACUUGGCGAACGAAACCAGAUAGCCCUUGGGCGGCCCGGGCUCCCUGUGGUCCGCCGGCGGCGCGAUCCACUCCGGCGACGACAGCGAGGUGCGGCGGCGCAGGAGUCCCUCCCUCUCGAGCUCUUGCAGCCGGCGCUCCGUCAUAGACGACGGGCGCCAGUCGUCGGCGGCGAUAAGUCUCACAGGCAUCCUAGCCGGAAGGAUGGCGGAUCCGCUACUACUCGAGGGGGUGUGCGCGCGUGAGACGGCAAGAAAGCUCAGACGGCGAGAGGGCUAAGGCAAGAAAGAAGACGGGAGGCAGAAGAAAGAACGGCGGCGGCGCCACGGCGUAUUUAUAGGCAGCAGUCCGCCAACGGAUAGAUCCGAGAAAUGAGGUAACUCCCCCCAUAAAUGCGCCAUCUAACAGUCCUUUCCCCCCUUCACAGGUGGGGCGCUCCGAAUUCCACGCCGACGCAGUGUCGUAACGUCUCCACCUAAAAAGGUGUGCCCAACGGGCAAAAAGGCGAACCGCCACGACUCCUUCCUUACCUUGUAAGCCAAGGGAUGUGCCCACGAGAGUCUCGAGAAGUCGAUAGCUGGCCCACCGAAAGGGUUUGACAGCCAAUCUCGAGCACCAGAGUCAGGGAUCCCCAGCGAGCGGUCGAAGAUCGAGGCCCGCCUCGAAGACUCGCUGGCGAUGUUCAAGGUAGGGUCGAGACAGUCGAGAGGAAUCCCCCCGACGGGAGGCAUCGAGCCGCUGGACUCUAUCGAAUGAGACCAGUAUCCCCGACCACGUCGACCCUGCUUUAUGGGAACACCUCUGGGCUACAGCUGACACCCUCGAAAGGGGCACAGGUUCUCACUUGGACUACCCACUAGGAACUCAAUUUGGGGUGGAAGACGCUCGCUCUAUCGAGAGUACGUCGAAACCUCCGCGCGAAACGAGCCAAUCAGAACCUUCCACCACUGGUGUCGACAGCGUUUCUGCAAAUUAGGCAAUAUAACCCUCAUAGGAGUCAAAAACUCCUCCAAGGGCUCGGGGGCUACCCCCGCGGGGUCGCUCGCGCGUCCCCACAGAAACUCGACCAAGGAACACAGCCUCCACUCGAGCGCCAGCGCUCAAAUAGAGACUCGGGGGCUACUGUCGAGGGUAUCAGUAAGGGGUAUCCUAGCUGAUGCACAUAACGAGAUUAUCCGUGCACAAAUCGAGGCCCACAACUCGACGCUCUAGUCAGCCACACAUACAGUCAUCGACGACCGCAGCCUCGAAGACAGAAAAGGCGUCGAGUGAAUCGCUCAGGGGUCGAGCGUCGACUACCGUCGAAUGCGGGAAUGGGCACGAGUGAAUCGGGAAGCGUCAAGCGCAAGGACACUGUUCGCCGCCUGACGCACGCACGAGAGCUAGGGCAUUUAAUGCGCCUGACGUUUUCCCACCUAACACGCUGGUCACGGGAAGCGUGAUAGGGAACAGGCACCCGUCCCGUCGUUCUUUUUGCAGCCUUCCCCACCAAACGACCUAGGGAGUGUCAGGACGCGGGAAAUAGUGAUGGAACGUCUAAUCAGGAGCCCCUCGAGACAACCAAGGUUAGCGCUCCGGAUAUCAGGGCAUUGCACGGCGUCUGACCCUCGACCAGACAUGGUUCCUUCCUGGGGACGAGUUGGGCGUCGACUGACAACACCGCAACCACUCCGCCGGAUCUGCCGCCAUAUCGUACAGGCAUGCGACCGGUGAACCAACCCAAGACGGCGUGCAGAGUAGGACACAGGAGCACGCGUAAUCAUCAUCAAGCUACCGAGACGGGAUGGCUCGAGAUCACGCCGGUACGGAGGCCUCGAGUAGGUCAGCGCGCCAUGCUUCUAUCGACCCCUACUCUGACACCUAUGCAUGUACCCUAGGUCUCUCCUUGGUGCUAUAAAAGGAAGGACCCGGGAAUAGAUAGCGAUCACGCAACACUACAUCCAUACGCAGUAGAACUCCCAUACUCCAUACCACGCUUGUAUUCGCCCCUGUACAAGCACUUAGGUGCAAGAUAAUACAAACUUCCCUCCCUCGCUGGACGUUGGGCCUUCUUUUGCCCGAACCAGGAUAAAUCUCUGUGUCUUCUUGCAUCACCAUCUUGGAAAGGGAGCACGCAUACAAAUUUACUCGUUGGUGUGACCCCCCGUGGGGAAAACACCGACACCAAUCUUGAAUGGAACUUUCACUCUUUGUGCAAUCUUAAUAGAACCUGAAUUAUUAAGCUAUUGCACAUGAUAUGGAUGGGGAUGUUUCAGCAGCUUCAACCCAAGCUUUUCAACCAUUUCUUUGCUUGCAAGAUUGUGGCGACUGCCACCAUCAAUGAUGACUUUGACAACCAUAUCUUGCACAUUAGCUCUAGUCUGAAAAAGAUUGUGCCGCUGUCCAUUUUCAGCAUCGCUCAUUUGUACACUCAAAAUCUGAGUUACAACAAGAGCAGCGCCAGAUUCAAAUUCACAGAUGUCCUUCUCAAGAUUACUCUCACUUCCACUAUCUUCUUGUUCUUCCUCACUAGCAGAUUCAUACUCCCCUUGAUCAUUCACAAUGAUGGUUCUAGUGUUUGGACACUCUCUUGCAACAUGACCACGACCACCACACUUGAAGCACUGAAUUCCACUACUCUUGCUAGAAGAACCCAUUGAGUUUGCUGAUUUGAAUUUCUCAUUUUGAUCAGCCAACUCUUUGCUACUAGAAGAACCAAGGUUGCUAGUUCGUGCACCACCAUUUGAGCUGGAAAAUGUACCUUUACUUCCACUUCCUUUGGGUGCAAAUUUACUUCCACUUGCUGCACUCUUUGUGCUGAAAGAUACUCUUCUAGUGGACUUCAUAUCCUGCUGCAAUUGCUGCUUAGCUUUGCUAGCUUGAUGCACCAUCAACAAGAUUAUGAUAUUGCUGAAAUUCAACAAUGCGCUGAAUAUUCCGAUGCAGCCCUGACAUAAAUUUUGCAAUUGUUUGCUCUUCAUCUUCAAUUACAUUGGCUCUAACCAUCGCCUUCUCCAUCUCUUUAUAAUACUCAUCAACACUGAGGCUUCCUUGCUUCAGAUUCUGUAGCUUGUUGUCAAGGAUACCAGUAAGGGGUAUCCCAACUGAUGUACAUAACGAGAUCGUCCGUACGAAAGUCGAGAUCCCCAACUCGACGCUCUUCGCAAUCACGAGUAUAAUCAUCGACGACCUCAGCCUCGAAGACGGAAAGGGCGUCGAGCGAAUCAAGCAGGGCUCGAGCGCCAACUACCGUCGAAUACGGAAACGAGCUCGAGCGAAUCGGCGGGCAUCGAGCGCAAGGGCGCCGCCCGCCGCCUGACACGCGCACGGGAGCCAGAGCAUUUAAUGCGCCUGUCACAUUCCCACCUAACACGCCAGUCACGGGAAGCGUGAUAGGGAACAGGCAUCCAUCUCGUCAUUCUUUUUGCAGCCUUCCCCACCAAACGACCCAGAGCGUGUUAGGACACAGGAAGCAGGGAUGGAACGUCUAGUCAGGACACCCUCGAGACACCAAAAGUCAAUAUUCUGGAUAGCAAGGCGCUACAGGGCGUCCGACCCUCGACUGGACAUGUUUCCUUUCUGGAGAAGGGUUGGGCGUCGACUGAUGGCACUGCCACCACUCUGAUGUAACAGCCGCCGUGACGUACAGGCGUGCAACGGACAAACCGGUCCAAGACGGCGUACAGAGCGGGAUAUAAGGGCACGCGCAAUCAUCAUCAAGCUACCGGAACGGGACGGCUCGAGACCACGCCGGUACGGAAGCCUCGAGUAGGUCAGCGCGCCAUGCCUCUAUUGACCCCUAGUCUGUCACCUAUAUAUGUACCCUAGGUCUCUCCUUGGAAUUAUAAAAGGGGGGCCCGGGAGUGAUCACAAAAAAAACACCACACUCAUACGCAGUAGAAUUCCCAAACUCCAUACAACGGUUGUAUUCACCCCUAUACAAGCACUUAGGUGCAAAAUAAUACAAACUCUCCCCCCCCGCUGGACGUAGGGCCUUCUCUUGCCCGAACCAGGAUAAAUCCUUGUGUCUUUUUGCUUCACCAUCUGGGAAAGGGAAGCACGCAAACAAAUUCACUCGUUGGUGUGACCCCCCGUAGUGAAAACACUGACAGUUGGCGCGCCAGGUAGGGGUCCUGCGUGUUUUCUCAUCGAUUUCCCAUUCCAUUCCCAGAUGGCCACUCCUUCACCGAUUCCGCGCUCCACGGUAAUUUGGUUUGGGAGUCUCGAGUUCGUGUCUACUGGCUCCGGCUAUGACAUGAUCUUGCUCUCAGUCAAAGGACCGGGAGGAGCCCGCGUUGCACCAGCACGAACGAGGGCCCCGAGACGCCCUCGCCACCAUGCCUCCCCGCCCAAGAAGAGGCGUGAACGGCACCACCAUCGCCCUUCCACCACGCCACGACCAGCAGUCCGUGCCAGGCAGGAAACGGCAGGAGAGCCAAUAGCCCCGUGCACCGUGGGCACGACGGCUCAAUGCCGCGAGGACCGCACGACGACAGGAGAAGAUGCACCCCGCGCACUCUCCCCCACCGCCCGGCUACUUCCACACGGGCUGUUCGCCGCAAGAGGAGCCUUGCCGUUCGGCCUGGAGAAUGCCGCAGCGUCGCUCGCCAGGGCAAUGUGCCCAAACGCCCAGACGUACGUGGAGCGACCAACGGUCCUCCCACGCAACCCUGAAGCACGACCAUGGGAAUCUGAGCAACCAGACUUCUCGUAGGUACGAGGCCUCCGCCGCCUGGGCCCAGGACGGUACACGAUCACCUCCCUCAGGCAGAGGCUGCUGGAGGAAGGGUGCGGAUGUUUCUACGCCGCCGAGCUGGACUCUGGCUCGGAAUCUGACAGUUACGACCCUACUAGGGAGUGUUUCCACGUCGACAGAGCGGUGGAAACCACCGACGAGACACAAGACGGCAUUGCGGACGGGCGAGCCCCUGUAGCAAGAGAAGACCCCAGGACACCUAGGAAUGAUGGUCAGAUCGACCCACCUCUGCAAGAAGACAGAGCCGCGCAAAUUGCGCAACUACGAGAGCUCAAGUCAAAGCUUGACGAGUACCGUGAGCGCCUUGUCCUGCUUGAGCAGAUCCUCGAGCAGGACCUGCCUUACCCGCCCGGCGGAAGUGUCCACAGACGAGCUCGAGAGGUGCACCGACAAAUCGUCGGAGACGCAGAGCCAGAGCAACCUGUCAGCCGUUUCCCUCGAGCAGGACAGAACGUUUGGCGGCAACAAUGCUAUUACGCUUACGCACGAUGCCCGAGCCCUCGAACUCCCAGGCGCAGCGCAUCCGAGAUGAGGUACAAACCUUGCUCUAGGUGGCAGCGGUUCAACAAGCAAAAAGCUCGGCCUCUCGAAGUCGAGGAGUGGCCACUGAAAAGCGCGAUGAGCCAGCCCAAAACGAAAGGGAGGUGUCAGUUCAUCAGCAGCCACCCCCUGAGGAAGAAAGACCACGCUCGUUCUCCCCAUCGACAAUCAGCGUCGACACGAUGCGCGACGCGACAUUGAAGAGAAUCGACGCCGUCGGUACGGGGACGCGGAGGAGCGGGGUUACAGCGCCCAUUGCGGCGGGAGGUACGACAGCGAUGAGGACCGGAUGGCCCCGGAGCCACCAGGCCCACGGGUAUUCAGCAGGGCAAUCCGCAGCACGCCGCUGCCCAGCCCGUUCCGACCCCUGACCAGCAUCGUGAAGUACAACGGAGAGACCAACCCAGAGCUAUGGCUAGCAGACUUCAGGCUAGCUUGUCAGCUGGGAGGAGCUCGAGGAGGCGAUCGAGCCAUCAUCAGACAGCUGCCGCUCUUCCUCUCAGACACCGCCCGCAGAUGGCUCGAAGAGCUUCCAGCCGAUCAGAUCCACGACUGGGUCGAUCUGGUUAGAGUUUUCGAGGGUAAUUUCAAAGGGACCUACAUAUGACCUGGGAACUCAUGGGACCUCAACAAGUGCAAGCAGAAGUCAGGAGAAACUCUUCAAGAGUACGCUCGACGCUUCUCGAAGCAACGCACCGAGCUACCGCACAUCCCCGACCACGACGUCAUCCUAGCCUUUGUCUCUGGUACCACCAGUCGAGACUUGGUGCGGGAAUUAGGCCGGAAUCGCCCUCAGACCUUCGACGAGCUGAUGGAUGUGGUGGCCAACUACGCGGUGGGAGAAGAAGCGGUCGGCGCUUUCUUCAGCUAUGAAGGAAGGAAAAGCAAGCAGCCCGCCGACGACGACGAAGGUCACAGUCGAGGGCCCAAGAAGAGCAAAAAGAAGAAGAAGAUCCGGCCAUUCCAACGGGAAGACCUCGACGACGAUCUCUUCGCCGCCAUGGAAUGCAAAAAGCCUCGAGGCCCCCCAGAUGGGGGCAUCUUCGAUAAGAUGCUAGAAGAGCCGUGCCCUUACCAUAAGGGAGGAGCCAACCACAAGCUCAAAGAUUGUCGUAUGCUGAAAAAAGCAUUUCGACGGUCUAGGGUUCAAGAAGGACGUACGCGAUGACCCAAAGAAGGAGAAGGGCGGAGAUAAAGAGGACAACAAGGUCAAUGACGGUUUCCCUGCCGUCCAUGACUGCUACAUGAUCUACGGUGGACCCUCGACGCAGUUGACCACAAGACAGCGCAAGAGGGAACAUCGUGAGGUCUUCGCGGCAAGAAUGGCGGUGCCCCAGUACCUCAGCUGGUCGAGCACCCCGAUCACCUUCGAUCGAGAGGACCACCCAGACAAGGUAGUUGCCCCAGGCAUCUACCCGCUCGUCGUCGACCCCAUCAUCGUCAACACUCGGCUUUCGAAGGUGCUGAUGGACGGCGGCAGCAGCCUCAACAUCAUCUACCUCGAGACCCUCGACCUCCUCGACAUCGACAGGGGGCGGCUCCAACCAAGCGCCGGCGGUUUCCACGGCGUCGUGCCAGGGAAGAAGGCGCUGACGGUGGGUCGAAUCGACUUACCGGUCUGCUUUGGCACGGUGGCCAACUUCAGAAAGGAGACCCUCACCUUUGAGGUGGUUGGAUUCCGAGGCACGUACCACGCCAUCAUCGGGCGCCCGGGCUACGCCAAAUUUAUGGCUAUACCCAACUACACCUACUUGAAGCCGAAGAUGCCUGGACCCAAGGGCGUCAUCACCGUCAGCUCCUCCUUCGAGCGUGCAUACGAGUGCGACAUCGAGUGCGUUGAGUAUGGGGAGGCGGUCGAGAGUUCUACCGAGCUCGUCUCGAAGCUCGAGGCCCUAGCCGCUGAGGCUGCAGAGCCCAAGCGCCACGCGGGCAGCUUCGAGCCGGCGAAAGGAACCAAGAAGAUCCCGCUCGACCCCAACAACUUCGACGGCAAGGUGCUGACGAUCAGCGCCGACCUCGAUCCCAAAUAGGAAGCCGUGCUCGUCAACUUUCUCCGUGCGAACGCCGACAUGUUCGCAUGGUGUCCUUCGGACAUGCCUGGCAUACCGAGGGAAGUCGCCGAGCACUCCUUGGAAAUUCGAGCCGGUUCCAAGCUAGUGAAGCAGCGGUUGCGCCGAUUCGACGAAGAGAAGGGCAAGAUCAUUGGCGAGGAGAUCCAAAAGCUUUUGACGGCCGGAUUCAUCAAGGAGGUUCACCAUCCCGACUGGUUAGCAAACCCUGUACUAGUUAAGAAAAAGAAUGGGAAAAUGAGGAUGUGUGUCGAUUAUACAAGUUUAAAUAAAGCAUGUCCAAUAGUUCCUUUUCCAUUGCCUCGUAUCGAUCAAAUCGUUGAUUCUACUGCGGGAUGUGAAACUCUCUCUUUCCUUGAUGCAUAUUCCGGUUACCAUCAAAUAAAAAUGAAAGAGUCCGACCAGCUCGCGACGUCUUUUAUCACACCUUUUGGGAUGUAUUGCUAUGUAACCAUGCCGUUCGGGCUUCGAAACACGGGAGCCACGUAUCAACGCUGCAUGCUCCACGUGUGUGGCAAGCACAUAGGGUCGACAGUUGAGGCCUAUGUCGACGACAUCAUCGUCAAGUCAAAGUGGCGGGGAGACCUGAUCCAGGACCUCGAGAUCGCUUUCAGCUGCUUACGUGCCAACCAGAUCAAGCUCAACCCCGAGAAGUGUGUUUCCGACGUACCUCGAGGCAUGCUCCUUGGAUACAUCGUUUCCCAGCGCGGCAUUGAGGCCAACCCCGAGAAGGUCUCGGCCAUCAUAAGAAUGGGGCCGAUUCGAGACAUCAAGGGUGUGCAGAGAGUCACGGGAUGCUUAGCGGCACUGAGUCGCUUCAUCUCGAGGUUAGGAGAAAAGGCGUUGCCAUUGUAUCGGCUCCUGAAGAAAGUCGAGCGUUUCUCUUGGACCCCCGAGGCCGAGGAAGCCCUCGAAAACCUGAAGAAAACACUAACUUCAGCACCGAUCCUGGUCCCACCUCAACCUGCAGAACCACUACUCCUUUACGUCGCCUCGACGACCCAGGUCAUCAGUGUAGCUAUGGUUGUCAAGAGGCCGGAGGAGGGGCAUGCGUUGCCAGUCCAGAGGCCGGUCUACUUCGUCAGCGAGGUGCUCUCGAAGACCAAGGCGCGUUACCCCCAAAUCUAGAAGCUGAUCUACGCCGUAAUCCUCGCCCGACGCAAGCUGCAGCACUACUUCCUCGGCCACCCUAUCACGGUGGUCUCGUCCUUCCCCCUGGGCGAGAUAAUCCAAAGUAGGGAGGCCACGGGAAGAAUAGCCAAAUGGUCGGUCGAGCUCCUGAGUGAGACUCUCACUUAUGCGCCUCGCAAGGCUAUUAAGUCACAAGCCCUGGUGGAUUUCAUCGUGGAGUGGACAGACUCCCAGCUUCCCCCGACUCAGGUUCAGUCGGAGCUAUGGACGAUGUAUUUCGACGGGUCUCUCAUGAAGACGGAGCUGGGGCCAGCCUGCUGUUCAUCUCGCCCCAGGGCGUUCAUAUGAGGUACGUCAUCAGGACACAUUUUGCCGCGUCCAACAAUGUUGUAGAAUACGAAGCUCUUGUUAACGGUCGGAAGAUCGCCAUCGAUCUUGGAGUUCGACGCCUCGACGUUUGAGGCGACUCCCAGCUCGUCAUCGACCAAGUAAUGAAAGCCUCGAACUGCCACGACCCGAAAAUGGAGGCGUACUGCAACGAGGUCCGUCGACUCGAGGACAGGUUCCACGGCCUCGAGCUUGUCCACAUCGCCCGAUGCUACAACGAGGCAGCCGACGAACUCGCCAUGAUCGCGUCAACUCGAGGCACGAUCCCACCCGACGCGUUCUCAAGAGAUCUGCAUGAGCCAUCAGUCGACUUGGGCUCGGGGGCUGGUGUCGAAGCCGCUCCAGCCUAGCAGGCCGACAACGUCGAAGCGCUACUAAUGGUGGCUGAAGUAAUGGAGGUGGAACAGUGGCCCGGUCGACCGUUUGACUGGCGCACGCCGUUCCUCGACUGCCUAAUCCGCUGCGAGUUGCCAGAAGAUCGAUCCGAGGCCCGCUAUAUCGCUCGACGAGCCAAGACAUAUGUAAUCUAUGGUGAGGACAAUGAGCUAUAUCGACAAAGCCCGACGGGGGUCUUGCAACGUUGCAUCACCGUGGAAGAAUGCCGGAAACUCCUCGAGGGCCUACACUCGGGGGCUUGUGGCCACCAUGCUGCUCCAUGGACCCUCGUAGGGAACGCCUUGUAACAGAACCGACCAAAUUAUAAGAGAUUAAGCCUAACAGUGACCAUUUGCAUAGUCAAACCAUCACGCUUAAGCCCAUAUAAUCCUGGUAGUUCGUGAAAUCUCGAAGGAUUUCAAACCACAUAUCGCACAGCAGCCAAGAUCGUAAUAAGUUUAGCGGUCGCCAUUCACAAAUACAUCCCGAUUACAACAUUCAUAAAAUACAUCGGAGUUCUUAAAGUUAUUACAAACCAAGUUCUUCAAGUAGCGGAAGCUUCAUAGUUCGAAAAUACAACACACACGCUUAGUCUGAUACAGUGCCAUAGUUCGGUCAUUCCCACAAAAGCAAAAGAAGAGACAGAGUGACCAUCGCCCUUGGUCUAGUCAUCACCCAUAGCUGGGUACAGACAGAGGAUGCAAUAACCAUAGUACAUUUGACCAUCUGCAAAACAACAUGGGAGUAGAACCCUGAGUACGAGAAGGUACUCAGCUAGACUUACCCGUCAUAAACUUAAAAUAAAGACUCAUCAAGGAUCAUGAAGGCUAUAUAGUGGGGUAGCUGACAACCAUUUUGCAAAACCGCAGGAUUUCACUAUCAUAACCUACAUAAGUCUUUAUUCUUUUAAUUUGCUCAAGUUGGAAGUAUCAUUACCUAUCAUCUAGGUUUGCACCUGCACUAUUACAAGCAAGUAUAAGGCUACGAUAUAGUACCUCAUCAUAGCAUUUCUUAAACCAUUCAUCAUUAUAACCCAAGUGUUCCAUAGUCCUUACUAUACGAGGACAGGGCUCAUGUCAAGUGCUCACUAUCCAGGAGCGAUGGCGAUUCGAAUCGAUUUCUAACCAGCUGGCGAGUUUAUUCCCCACACAAACCACACUCAGUGAUCAAGUGAGCUACAGAUCACCGUAUUGCACUAUCCAGGACCAAUUCGCGGGUUCGACAGGCACCGCCCGUACCCGAGGACCGUUCCGGCGACCGAGGUAUCCAAGGUAUACCAAGGUUGCACGCCGCGCCCUCGUCGUUCUCCUCAACCAUCACCAAUACAGCGCGUACAUCGGGCCGAUUCCCGGCCCGGAUAGUGCUCAGGCUUCGCGGUCGGAAUGACUUAUCCUUCCAGCUAAAUGUGGGGCAUGCGUUCAACAUGACAAGAGGGCCGUCAACGAUUGGUCCUUAAUCGACACAGGCAGGAGCACUAUGGUCCACCCACCAUAAGACCCUGCCCGGCCUCCAAUUUCAUUCCGCACUUGGUUAUUCUUUUCCCAAAGCAAUCACGGCUUAAACAAGUAGGUAUUCACCUAUAUCUCGCAGGUGACUUCUACCGGGCUAAGCAAACUAAGCAUAGACUCCGCGCCUAUCUACAUAGGACAAGGUAGAUAAACAAGUAGGGAUAACAAGGAGUACAUAUGCAGCAACGGUAUCACACAACUCCUAUCACUUAAAUGCAAUAUAGUAGAACAAGCAUAGUAUAUCAUGUAAGUUAGCGAGAAUAGGGAGACUUAGAAUGCUCCGGGGCUUGCCUUUCUCAAACGUGCUGGGUCGGUGAUCCGGACACUCCUGCAGUUCCUCUCCGGAUUCCUGUGCUUCCGGAGGUUCCUGCUCCUGGAUCUCCUCUGGUUCCUCGGGUCCCACCUCGUUCUCCUGCGAGCCUGUAUGAUGCAUGUGUGCUCAUGAGUGGAGUGCGAGAUGCCCGAGUGGAUGCUUGUAUGAUAAGGUACCAAGGAGUCAUGACAUGAUGCGUAGGUGAUUUAAUUGGUCAUGCUCUUUACAAGGUAGUCAACAUCAUCCAAGAGUAAGCAAUUGGAUUAAACAUCUAGUGCAUUUUCCUCUACAAAUAUUUUUCAAAUACAACCAGCAACCCACAUGAUGCUUCAAAGAUACACCAAACCCAACUUAUUCUAUUCAACCUAUAUACACAACAAUUCAUAAUUUUCUUUAUUCAAUUUUAGGCCCAUUAAAAAUCACAUGCAAUUCUGUUCAUCAAUAAAUUCCACAAAAAUUACAGGAGACUACCAGUCAAUCAUAGAAUCUACUGUAAAUUUUUCAUAAUUUUUGGAUACUUAUUGUGAGCUACAAAAAUCACAAGGUUAAUUAAUAAGGUAAUUAUAAUCACUCUUCUGUGAUAUAAGUGUUAAACAACAGAUUUCAUAUUUUUAUAAUUUGUCUAAUAUUAUAAGAAACACCCACAAAAUUGUCCAGAUUUAUUGCAUGAUCCAAUUAAUUAUUAAAAAUCAUAAACCACUGCCAUGCAAGCAAUUAAAUUACCAUAAAUUCACUUAUACACCAAAUAAUGUUUAGCAAUGUUUUCCCAGUGAGUAAACAUACAUGCAGAGCCAACAAAUCAAGUUUUACAUUUUUCUGAACCAUAUUUUAUUUACUAUGCAUUUUCCAAGUUUAGCAAAAACAUGGAUUAAAUAUAUUCAUACAGAAAAGUUACUCAAACAUGACAUGCAAUCACAUCAAGCUGUAGAUCUGGAAAUAUAGAGCACACCAAAAUUUAUUUCAUCAAAUUUGGAGCUGUAGAACUCAAGAUAUGAAUUUUACAAGUUUUGAAUCAAUUUCUGGAAAACAUUUAUUCAAUAAAACCGACGAAAAAGGCUAAGUACACCUAGAUCUACACGCACCGGGGUCCCCCUGCGACUGACAGUGGGCCACUGACCCCACCAGUCAGCGAGACCGAGGGGGAGCUCACCUCCGACGAGCGGAUCUCGCCGGCGGUGAGGUCUCCAGCCACGGGGUAAGCACCAACGUGCUCCCCGCAGCGAGGCGCACCCAGCGGUACCCUCGGAUUGGCCGGAGGAUGACCGCAACACCUCCGACGAGCAUGCAUAGUGUUGGGUAUUCUUAACAUCAUUACCAAAAGUAGACUAAGUUCUCUAAAUCUAGUAACGGUGCCAAAAAUGCCAAACCUAUCCCUCACACCACUUAAGCCAAGUUGUCAUCCUCAGCAUGACAUGAGAGACGCGGUAUUGAAAUACGCAAUUCCUCUUCUAAAUAAAUAAUGUAUGGGAUCUGCAAGCGCACAGAUUAAUACCGAUGCAGCAUUUUAACCGGGAUGUAUUCCAAGUAUCGUUAUUUAUAUUUUUACCACUGGGAAGGGAUUAGCAAUCAUCAAUAUUGAUUACAGAAUAGAAUAUGAGAUUGAGCAUCUAUCAUUGCAUGUAUAAUUGAGAACAUUUAUCUAACUCUUCACACAGAGAUAAGUGUCACAUAAAAGAUAUAUGAAAUAAUAAUAGUGACAAGGAUAACUAAUCUGAUCUAGCCACAUAAUAAAUAUGAUAAGCACCUCGAUUAGAUACUCUAGAAAGUCAUUAGCAUGGUAUUAGAACGAACUACAAGAAUAUUCCCUAAGUUAUUCUUAACUAUAUAGUCUAGCAUUAUCAUAAUUAGUGCAAGCAUACUUAGCAAUCAUUGCGAGACAAGACUACGCCCAUGCAUAGUGAUAUUAGCAAGGAAUAUGAGAAACAUAGCAAUCACUCCCCUGUAAUAAUGUUGCUCUGCCAGCCCAAUACACGAGAGGGGGACUAUAUAAGAAUCAAUGAAGCUGUCACUAUCACGAACCACCCCAUGAUCUGGCAUAUUGGGUACAAUCGCAGAUAAAUACGGUAUAAGCACCACGCCUACACAAUAUCUAUCAUUUACCCAUGGAUCCGAUGGAUAAACGCUAUACGAUCCUAAGCAUGUAUAUAGAUCGAAUCUAACUAAGCCAAGUACAUAACUAUGAUAAACUAAGAACAAUAUAAUCUUGAAUAUAAGCAAGUAGAGCAAAGUCAUAAGCAAUAUAUUGAAGUAGAACAAAGUCAUAUUCAUAAUAUUGAAGAACAAAGAUAAUUAGAAAGCAAUUAGAAGCACAAUUAGAGAAUUACCAAGAAUCCUCCUGACACAUCCGGAAACCAAUCGAAGAUUGACUCCUUCUAGUUCUAAUCCUAUGUAGCUAUGCUAAUCUAGAUGUCUAAUUGAUGUGGUGGCUCUAAUCUUGAUCAGAGGCUUCUUCUCCCUUGAUGGAACAAUGAAUUAGGGUUGAGAGGCUCUCUCCUCCAGGGGCCAGGGGGUCUGGUUUUAUAGUCCCUUCAAGUGAAUAUGGGCCCUUGGAUCAAACCGACAUAGAUUGUAUGGUUUAGAUUCAUCCUUUAGGUCGGUGGAGAUCUCCCGCAAAGCAGAGUCCUGAUUGGACUCCUGGAGUGGGCGGGCGCCCAGUAGGACAGGGCGGGCGCCCUGUCUCUGGCCCCGUUUCGCCUCCGCUUCGGUCUCGUGGCUUCUGGAGUCUUCUAGAUGUAAGAUAAUUGCACAGCACGUUAAUAUCUUUACGUAAUCCCGACAUGUGGGCCUUUCUUCCAUAUUUCCUGAUAACCCCCUGUAGAAAUAGACAAACACCAAAACUCGUGGAAUUCUGUCAGAUAAAACCCUAAGUGUAGAUCUUGAUUUCAUUUGGAUCCUUUUCUUUAUUUAUUUGAUAAUUAAAUUUGAUACUUAAGGACCGUCAACAAACUCCCCCAAGCUUACCUCUUGCUCGUCCCUGAGCAAAGAUAGACUCAGCUAUGGAUCAUAAGUUGUUGCAAUAUCUUUCAAAAUUGACGGUACACAUGCUUUUAAAUAAGAUCUCAUCUCUGAGUUAGAGUAAACUGUCAAGACUUAAAACUUACUUACUUUACCUUCACCAUGGGACUUGUAACUGUCACUUCUGUCUUGAGUGGUUAAAAGAUAGAACAGUCUAGCCAAGUGCCAUGUCUCUUAUUCUUGAUCAGCUAUAGCUCUGGGGUUUUUGCAGAUUUUCAAAUAAAACUCAGAGAUUCCUUGUAUGAUUCUCUCAGGUCUCUCUUUUGUGGUAUUUUUGGAUCCUUACCAAGGCAGUGAUGGUAUAUGCCUUCUCUCAAAAUAUGUAGUAUUUGUGGUUUGAGGCAUAGUGACAUUGCCUUCUCUCUCACCCUACUCUAAUAAGGCUUUAAUAUCUGGAGCUCAUAGGUGGGAGAUAAAGUAUACAUACUUAUAAGACAUUUAUUGCAUAGUCAAACCAUGGAUCCAAAGUAACAAGUCAAUAAGUCAAAUCAAGAUGUGCAUGUGUGGCGAAUGAAUGGUGUAUGGUGAUGAUGGUGAUAACAAUGGUGAAAACAAUGGUGGUGGAAGUCUAAUUCUACUUUGCUCUUUGAGGGGAUACAUACCUUCCUAGCUUUUUGAAACUUUAUGAGGAGAAUGAGAUGCUCUAUAUUUUUCUUUUCUCUCAGGUGGGUAUCUUGCACCCCUAAUUCUAUUGUCGGACACUUGUCCAUUUUUACCUCUCGUCUCACUUUUUCUUUUCUUUCGAGGUUCCGAGCACUUGCUCCUUUUUAUUUUCUCGUAUCUUUUUUUUAGAGCAUUGAUCUCUUGAGAUAAUAUAGCAAGUGGUAGUAACAAGAUAACUUGAGCAUUUAUUUCACAAGGGGAAAACAGAAAUAUUUUUGGUUACUCUCUCCCGGAUUAGGAGUAGAAUAUUUUUGGUUGGUUCUAGAGAUGGAAUGGGUGGAUAUAUGUGGAUGGUACUUCCGGAGUAGAAGUAGCAUAUAUGAGUGAACGUGCAAGUGAAAUCUUGAUUUAACUACAUGACAAGCUCCUAAGGGUCUACACAGCUUGACCACACUCAAUGCUCAUAAGCAGUAAAUAGUAAAUGUGUGGCUCAAAGUCUAGCAAGCAUGUAUAUAUGGCUGUGGUAGGAAUUUAAACUCUCAUCAUACAGGAACUCAUCAUGCAACAUUUUAAAUAUUUUCAAAGAUAAAAUUCUCCAGAAUUCUAGCAUCUCUAGGAACAGAUAAACAGCUGCUCAACCUUCCCAUAUCGUAUCUGUUAACAACUUAGACUUCAGAUCAAGUUUUCAUCCCACAAGUUUAGGUCUAGAGCAAGCUUUAAAUUAUAACAAUUAUAUCUAAACUUGAGAGAGAACUUAAAAUUUGCAAAUUAGGCAGAGCAACUAUUUAUCAUAUCCGUGCUUAAGUUUUAUUUAGAUACAGAUUAGCAUAGCCACUUUAUUUAUCUAUUAAACACACUAAGCAAAAGAUAUAUAUAUAAGCAUAAAAUCUUUAUUUGGUUUUCCAUAGUUUAAUAAUAUAAGUAUAAAGAUAGAUAGAAAUACUUAUUGAGAUAAAUGGGGGUGCUCUCCCCCAAGCUGAAUUUUGACGUAAUUUCUCUUGAUGUAGCUAGCAGGUGGCAGAGGUGUAUUUGCAAGUCAGUAGCAUUCUGACAGCGAUUAGAAUAUCCUCCGUCUGCUAAUCUUCUUGAUUCUUAAAUUCUGUGGAGCUCAAAUAGACAACAAAGCUUGUGGAACUGAUUAAGUGUUAGCAUAAAUAUCUAGCCUUUAUUAUCUUGAGACUCCUUAAUAAUUAUUACUCCUUGUUUUUAUAUUUUUAUUUUAUAAAGUAGAAAAAUAUUUAUUCUAUUUUUAUGCCACCACAGUGAAUGUACUUAUGGGUUUUAUGCCACUCGUCUACUCACAUGGGGCUUACUGUUUUUCACAUUUUUAUUUUCUGUUUUUUAGGAUAAUACGAACAUGAUUAACUAAGUAAACUAUUUGAAAUAAUUGAAAUGAUUAAAAGGGAAAGGAUAACUUCCAAGUUUACCUCUUGGCAAGGCGUUCGGUGUUUCUAAGUCCUCCGAACGGGACUCUCCAAUUUCUUAAUCGUCCUGAGGUUCGUUGGGUGGCGUAGUCGGUACUUCCGGCAGCGCCUCCUCUUCAUGUAUAGUUAUCUUCAUUUUCAACACCUGACUCGGUGCUUUAGUCUCCUCUGGAUAAUUCUAUUUAAACUCUAUGUCUUCUGACCUUACAACUUCUCCUUCAUAGUCUGCCCAUCCAUCCUUGAUGAUCUGCCUCCUCCGGUUGCGGUUGCGUCGUUUCCUUACCUGCUUAGAUUCUUCAACAAUAUAGUUAGGGUCAGUAAAAUAACGGCGUACCUUUUCUGAGGGGAAGUGCAUAUGGACUUCUCCGGUUCCAAUGUAGAUAAUUGCUUUAACGGUGCUGAGGAACGGUCUUCCAAGGAUGAUGGGCGGAUCGUACUCGUCUUCUCCCAUGUCAACAACUUGAAAGUCUGUGUAGACAAAGUGAUCGUCUAUUUUGACUGGGGCAUCAGAUACUAUUCCUUGAACUUCUCGAAAUGUCUGAUCUGCCAUCUGGAGCUGAAUGUAUGUUGGUCUUAGUGGCAUGGUUCCGAACAAGAGCCGAUAGGUGACUGCGGCCAUUAUGUUGACGCCUGAUUCGGUGUCGCAAAUCGUCUUGUAGAAGUUGUAUCCUUAUAGAGCAGUAAAUGCUUGGCAUUCCUGGGUCGUCCUUCGUGGUCAAAAACGGUGACUUAAGUUGGUGAUCUUGGCCUCCAUGAACUACAGUGACCAUCUUAGCUGACUCGGUCCACACUUGCUUGUUCCUGUUUGUCCUGUUGGUCCUCUUCCUUGAUUCACGUCUGGAUUGAUUUGGAAUUUGUGUAGUCUUGUUCUUGAAGAAAAAUGUCUCCUUCUUUCUUUUGACGUAGAAACUGAUCUUGGCAGCACUGGUGUAGAUGAUAGCUCCCGUGGUAUUCAAGAAUGGCCUCCCUAAGAUGAUAGGUGCUCUCUCAUCAUUUCCGGUCUCUACCACUACGAAGUCUGCUGGGGCAUAUAAGGUACCAACUCGGACACAAAGGUUCCUCACUAUUCAUUUUGGAAAAGUUAUUGUCUGAUCUGCAAACUGCAAACACAUGGUUGUCUCUAAUAAAGGAUUUGUAAAGAAUUUCUCAUAGAGUACCCUGGGUAUAAUGUUGACGCUGGAGCCAAAGUCGCAGAGUGCUUCUGGAACGUCCACCAUGCCGAUGGAGAUCGGGAUGACGGGGCGUCCUGGAUCGCCUCUCUUGACCGGCAGAAGGUCAGUAGAAAAUUCAGUGACGGGGUUACUCCAAUUACCUGCAUUAAACAUGUACCGGGGUUAGUAGUAGGAACAGCAGCAGCUAUUUGAUUUAACUGGGAUUCAAUCAUUUUAUUAAAGCUAAUUUGAUUUUUGAUGGCAGUAGAAAAAUUAUCCAUUCUAUUAUUUAUAUUUUCUAGCAUUUUAUCAUUAGAUGCCAAUUUCUUAGAUAGAUUAUCCAUUAGCUUUCCUUGAUUAGACACUAACUCUCUCAAAGGUGGAAAAUUACUAUUGUUGUUGUAAGAAUUGUUACCUUGAUAAUUACCUAAGUAGUUAGGCCUCUGUUGAUUCCAACCUUGAGUUUGUUGAGGACGGUUGUAGUAGUAGUAGUUGUUGUUGUUGAUGUAGUUCACAUCCUCAAGCAUCUCAGGACAGUGGUUGCCUGAGUGUCCAGUGUCUCCACACUCCUCACAAGUCAUGUGAGAGUCAUAGAUGUGCAUAACUUCUUUCUUGUCUCCAGCUCUAUCAUCGAGCUUCUUCAUGAGCAGGUCUAGCUUUGCAGACAGCAUGUCUACCUCCUUCAGCUGAUGCAUACCUCCACCUCUCUUGCGUGUCUGGGUCCUCUCUUCAUUCCAGCUUUGAUUGGACGCCAUCUUCUCCACAAGAGCUGUGGCUUGUGGUAUAGUAAGUGAUAAGAAUGCUCCUCCAGCUGCAGCAUCCAUGGUCUCUCGGGCACUGUUGCUGAGCCCAUGAUAGAAUGUCUGCAUCAAUAGCCAACUCUCCAUUCCAUGAUGGGGACAUUCUAGGAUGUAGUCUUGAAAGCGCUCCCAUGCUUCUGGAACAGAUUCAUCAUUUUGUUGCUGAAAACUCGUAAUCUUCCCACGGAGAGCAUUGGUCUUGCCCAUGGGAAAGAACUUUGCCAGGAAGUUUGUUGAGCAGAGUGCCCACGUAGUAUUCUUCUCCUUUGUAGCGUAAAACCACUGCUUCGCUCUUCCUAACAGUGAGAAUGGGAAGAGGCGAAGUAGUAUAGCGUCUUUGGAAACUCCUGCUAUGGUGAAUGUGUUGCAAAUCUCCAGGAAGUGUUGUAAAUGAGCACUAGCAUCUUCGUGUGCCUUCCCACAGAACUGGUUGGAUUGCACCAUGUUGAUAAGUCCAGGCUUGAGCUCAAAGUUGCCAUCGAUCUCUGCAGCAGGUCCAGUGUGGAUGUUGUCCGUAGUGGGAGCUGAGAACUCGCGGAUUGAUUUGUUCGCCAUGGCUUCGAACUCUAAAGACAAGUUUCGGUGAUCUUCUUGAUUGGAUGAAGCUUCUUGCUGAAGUGUUGAUGAUUUCUUUAGCUUGGCUCUCGUCUUCUUGAAUAAUGCUUCGGGAUUGUCAACAAAAUUCCUUGGAAGAUGUCUUCUAUUCAUACAUUCCCCUGCAUAAGAUAAAAUAGAAAAAUAUCGGGGUAAAACUGUAUGAGAGAAUAGAUAAGCUCAAUGAUAUUAGUGAUGCGAAUGAUAACUCAAAAUCUUUUAUUCCAUUCCUGAUUGGUAAUCAACCUUUCCCGGCAACGGCGCCAAAAAUGCUUGUUGGGUAUUCUUAACAUCAUUACCAAAAGUAGACUAAGUUCUCUAAAUCUAGUAACAGUGCCAAAAAUGCCAAACCUAUCCCUCACACCACUUAAGCCAAGUUGUCAUCCCCAGCAUGACAUGAGAGACGCGGUAUUGAAAUAUGCAAUUGCUCUUCUAAAUAAAUAAUGUAUGGGAUCUGCAAGCGCAUAGAUUAAUACCGAUGCAGCAUUUUAACCGGGAAGUAUUCCAGGUAUCGUUAUUUAUAUUUUUACCACUGGGAAGGGAUUAGCAAUCAUCAACAUUGAUUACAGAAUAGAAUAUGAGAUUGAGCAUCUAUCAUUGCAUGUAUAAUUGAGAACAUUUAUCUAACUCUUCACACAGAGAUAAGUGUCACAUAAAAGAUAUAUGAAAUAAUAAUAGUGACAAGUAUAACUAAUCUGAUCUAGCCACAUAAUAAAUAUGAUAAGCACCUCAAUUAGAUACUCUAGAAAGUCAUUAGCAUGGUAUUAGAACAAACUACAAGAAUAUUCCCUAAGUUAUUCUUAACUAUAUAGUCUAGCAUUAUCAUAAUUAGUGCAAGCAUACUUAGCAAUCAUUGCGAGACAAGACUACGCCCAUGCAUAGUGAUAUUAGCAAGGAAUAUGAGAAACAUAGCAAUCACUCCCCUGUAAUAAUGUUGCUCUGCCUGCCCAAUACACGAGAGGGGGACUAUAUAAGAAUCAAUGAAGCUAUCACUAUCACGAACCACCCCACGAUCUGGCAUAUUGGGUACAAUCGCAGAUAAAUACGGUAUAAGCACCACGCCUACACAAUAUCUAUCAUUUACCCAUGGAUCCGAUGGAUAAACGCUAUACGAUCCUAAGCAUGUAUAUAGAUCGAAUCUAACUAAGCCAAGUACAUAACUAUGAUAAACUAAGAACAAUAUAAUCUUGAAUAUAAGCAAGUAGAGCAAAGUCAUAAGCAAUAUAUUGAAGUAGAACAAAGUCAUAUUCAUAAUAUUGAAGAACAAAGAUAAUUAGAAAGCAAUUAGAAGCACAAUUAGAGAAUUACCAAGAAUCCUCCUGACAGAUCCGGAAACCAAUCGAAGAUUGACUCCUUCUAGUUCUAAUCCUAUGUAGCUAUGCUAAUCUAGAUGUCUAAUUGAUGUGGUGGCUCUAAUCUUGAUCACAGGCUUCUUCUCCCUUGAUGGAACAAUGAAUUAGGGUUGAGAGGCUCUCUCCUCCAGGGGCCAGGGGUCUGGUUUUAUAGUCCCUUCAAGUGAAUAUGGGCCCUUGGAUCAAACCGACAUAGAUUGUAUGGUUUAGAUUCAUCCUUUAGGUCGGUGGAGAUCUCCCGCAAAGCAGAGUCCUGAUUGGACUCCUGGAGGGGGCGGGCGCCCUGUCUCUGGCCCCGUUUCGCCUCCGCUUCGGUCUCGUGGCUUCUGGAGUCUUCUAGAUGUAAGAUAAUUGCACAGCACGUUAAUAUCUUUACGUAAUCCCGACAUGUGGGCCUUUCUUCCAUAUUUCCUGAUAACCCCCUGUAGAACUAGACAAACACCAAAACUCGUGGAAUUCUGUCAGAUAAAACCCUAAGUCUAGAUCUUGAUUUCAUUUGGAUCUUUUUCUUUAUUUAUUUGAUAAUUAAAUUUGAUACUUAAGGACCGUCAACACAUGGCGGCACGACGGCGCUGCUCGCCGUGGCCAGGCCGCUCUGGUGCGUUAGAGCGCGCGCAAAAGCUCCUCCGAGCUUCCCCAUCGAGCUACGGACCUAACGCGCUAAAGAGCGAGCGAAACUAGGCAGGAUAUUGCAAGAGUACUCCAGCGAGCGAUUCACGGCACACGGUUGCUUCUCACCUUGGUAGAGCGCGCGCAGGGGCUUAACCACGGCGAACGGUUAGUGCGCUGGUGCUCUUGGCGUCGACGUUGGGGCUCCUGUUGCGACCGGCNNNNNNNNNNNNNNNNNNNNNNNNNNNNNNNNNNNNNNNNNNNNNNNNNNNNNNNNNNNNNNNNNNNNNNNNNNNNNNNNNNNNNNNNNNNNNNNNNNNNUGGCCGCGGCGCGUCCAACGCCGGCGCACGGCCGCCACGUAGCCGGCGCCGGGUGGAUCGGGGCGGGCGCCGCGCGCGCGGGAGAGAGGGGAGGGGGAGCGGGCCGCGCUGCCCAGCUGGGCCGAAAGGGAGGCGGGUCGGCCCAGCAGCGCCUGUCCCCUUAGAAUUUGAAUUACAAAUUAAAACUAGUUCUAGGUUUUUAAAUAAAUUCAUUUUGGUCAUUUUGUAUAAAUUCCAUUUCUCAAAUUCUAUAGCUCCAAAAAUUGCACAAAAAUAUUCUUAAUUCUUCUUACACAUAAAUCCACCUAGUUUGAAUAUUUCACAUUUUUAGAAGCAAGCAUCAUAUUUUUAACAUAUUUAGAACACAGGAAAUAAAGCACAUAAAAUCAUGUUUUGGGAUGAAUGACAUGCUCAUGAUGCUAUGCUUGAUGAGAAUGCUUAUGCAUUGCUUUGAUAAGGCUAAGUGCAAGCUUAACACCUAGGGUGUUACAGCCCUUCCCCCCUUAGGGAAAUCUCGUCCCGAGAUUUUGGGUUACUAACCAUUUCUUAUGAAAUUUUGGAUAAACUGUUUUCAAGUAAUCCUCUGUUUCCCAGGUGGCAUCCCUAUCGUCAUGAUGACUCCACACCACCUUAUAAGUUCUGACAACUUUGUUUCGGGUUACUCGUUCCUUGGUAUCCACAAUUCCCACUGGCUGCUCUUUAUACUCCAGAUUUGCUUUUAUCUUGAUUCCUCGAGGUUCAAUUCUUUGCUCAGGUACUUUCAAACAUUUCCGCAGUUGCGACACAUGGAAGACCGGAAAGAUCGAGCUCAACUCUUCAGGUAACCGAAUCUUGUAGGCCACUAGGCCUUUCCUCUCUAGUACUUGAUACGGUCCCACAUAUCUGGGUGCAAGCUUGCUUCGAACUCGGAAACGUUGAACUUUCUUCAUUGGUGUAACCUUAAGGUACACAUAGUCACCUAUGUUGAAUUCAAGUGGCCUUCUUCUCUUAUCAGCAUAACUCUUUUGUCGUGAUUGUGCUGCUUGCAUAUGCUGCUGUAUGAUUUGUACCUUCUUCUCUGCCUCAUUCACAAAGUCGAUACCAUAGUAUCUUCUUUCACCAGGUUCAACCUAGUUCAACGGAGUUCUACAUCUCCGACCAUACAGAACUUCGAACGGAGCCAUCUUGAUACUCUCUUGAUAACUGUUAUUGUAUGAGCAUUCAGCCAGAGGUAACGAUGAUUCCCAUGAUCCCUUGGAUGAUAGCACACAGGCCCUUAGCAUAUCUUCUAACACUUGAUUUAGCCUCUCCGUUUGACCUGAAGUCUGGGGAUGAUACGCCGUGCUUCUUAUCAGACUGGUCCCCAAACUCUUAUGGAUGCGCUCCCAGAAGUGAGCGGUGAACUGUGGUCCUCUAUCUGAUAUGAUGGUCUUGGGAAUACCAUGCAACUUAACAAUCUCAGCCAUAUAUAUAUCGGCAUACUCAGGAGGUCGGUAACGGGUCUUCACAGGAAUGAAAUGGGCCGAUUUGGUCAAUCGAUCUAUGAUUACCCAAAUCGAGUCAUUUCCCUUCCUUGUCGUUGGUAAACCCGUGAUUAAGUCCAUACUGACUUCUUCCCAUUUCCACUCUAGAACUGAUAACGGUUGCAACAGACCUGCAGGUUUCAUAUGGAUGGCCUUAACUCUGCAACACGUGUCACAACGGGCUACAUAUGCGGCUAUUUCCUUCUUCAUCUUGGUCCACCAAAAGUGGGGUCUUAGAUCUUGAUACAUUUUGCUACUGCCAGGAUGAAUGGAAAGCUUAGAGAGAUGGGCUUCAUCCAUGAUACGAUUCUUCAAUUCUCGAUCCUUCGGGACUACUAACCGAUGUUGAAACCACAGUACCCCUUUCUCAUCAACGCGAAAUUGAGUUUUUGGGUCAUCUUUGAUCUUCUCUUUGAUGUGGAAAAUGCCCUUGUCUGUUUUCUAUCCUUCAAUGACUUGACUCUUGAGUGAACAACUGAGUUGUAUGUGACAUAAGACCUCAGGAUGCAUGAGAUUGAAUCCAUCUUCAAACAACGGUUGAACCACUUGAUAGUGCAGUUUACGACUCAACGCAUCCGCUACUACAUUAGCUUUGCCAGGAUGGUAGUGAACUUCCAGAUCAUAGUCCUUGAUUAACUCUAACCACCGUCGUUGCCUCAUAUUCAGCUCGGACUGAGUGAAGAUGUACUUCAAACUCUUAUGAUCGGUAUAAAUGUGACACUUAUUCGCCAGCAGAUAGUGUCUCCAAAUCUUCAAGGCGUGUACCACUGCUGCUAACUCGAGGUCGUGAGUUGGGUAGUUGACUUCGUGCUUUCUCAACUGUCGAGAAGCAUAAGCUAUCACCCUGCCAUCUUGCAUCAACACACACCCCAGGCCACUCUUCGAUGCGUCACAAAAUACAUCAAAAGGCUUCUCUAUAUUAGGUUGUGCCAGAACGGGAGCAGUGGUUAGCAACUUUCGCAAGGUGCGGAAGGCUAACUCACACCCUUCCGUCCAGACAAACUUAUGAUCCUUUUGCAGCAAACUUGUCAUUAGCUUAGCAAUCUUGGAGAAGUCAGGUAUGAAACGACGAUAAUACCCGGCCAGACCAAGAAAGCUCCUAACUUCUGAGACAGAAGUUGGUGCCUUCCAGUCCAUGACUUCCUGCACUUUUGACGGAUCCACAACAAUCCCUUCUUCAGACAGAAUGUGCCCUAGGAAAGGAACUUUCUUCAACCAGAACUCAAACUUGCUGAACUUGGCAUAUAACUGAUGCUCUCGUAAUCGUGUCAGCACGAUUCUCAGAUGCUCGGCGUGAUCUUGCUCAUUUUCUGAAUAAACCAGGAUAUCAUCGAUAAACACCACAACAAACUUAUCCAAUUCUGGCAUAAAGACUGAAUUCAUCAGAUACAUAAAGUAUGCAAGAGCAUUUGUCAAUCCAAAGGACAUGACAAGGUACUCAUACAACCCAUAUCUGGUGGAAAAAACAGUCUUCGGGAUAUCUUGUGGACGAAUCUUGAUUUGGUGAUACCCGGAUCUCAAAUCUAUCUUAGAAAACACUCUUGCCUUGGACAACUGAUCAAACAGGAUAUCAAUCCUUGGCAACGGAUACUUAUUCUUGAUUGUCACUGCAUUGAGUGGACGAUAGUCCACGCACAUGCGCAGCGAUUGAUCCUUCUUUUUCACAAACAACGCGGGACAACCCCAUUCCGACGAGCUUGGUCGGAUGAACCCUUUAUCCAGUAUCUCUUUUAGUUGAUUCUUCAACUCAGCGAGUUCGUUUGGUGGCAUCCGGUACGGCCUUCUAGAUAUUGGCGCUGUACCCGGUAUCAACUCGAUUGCAAACUCUACUUCCCUAUCCGGGGGAAGUCCUGGUAAAUCCUCGGGAAAAACGUCAGGGAACUCACAUACCACGGGUAUGUGUUCUAGGGAAACCACGUGUACUGCACAUGAAAGACUGGCGAAGUCCAACCGCCUGGGUAGCUUGACCUGAAGCACACCCUUCCCUUGCGGGUCUCUGAGGGAAAGAGUUUUAUUCCCGGCAUCUAUAACUGUGCCCCAGUCAGACAUCUUGUUCAUUCCAAUGAUGACAUCCAAAACUAGCCUUGGCAUGACCACAAGGUUUACGCGAAACCUCAGCCACUGAUAUCCAAAGUAACUCCUGUUACUGUUUUAUUAGUCAACACAUCAGCUCCGGCUGAGCUGAUGCGAUAGCCAUAACCUAACUCAGUAACUGGCUGGUCAUGCUUUUGUGCAAAUGCUUGGCUCAUGAAUGAAUGCGAUGAUCCAGAAUCAAACAAAACAACUGCGAGAUGUUGGUUGACAGGAAACAUACCAGCUGUUACCGGUUCUCCUUCCGGGAUCUCCUCGAUCGAGGUAUGGUGCACACGGGCUGGAUAGGUUGGCUGCUGCCUCUUUGGGUAGGGACAUUCCUUAGCAAAGUGCCCCAUCUUGUGGCAGUUAUAGCACGGACCCUUGGGCGCAUUGUUGACGGCAGGUGCUGCAGCUUGAAUUGCCUUUGGCUUGGCAGGGGCUAUCGCCACCUUGUACGGCUUCUGCUGUGUUGGAUGCCCGGUGUUCCUUCUCUGCGGCGGUCGGAACCUAGCACCUGGGGCAGGAGGACGAUACUGCUGUUGCCCUGCCACUGGUGCCCUAGACUGGGAUGAUCCGGCUUCAAAAGCCCUCUUACGUGACUUGGACGCACUGUAGUUGUUAUUAUUGUUUUCUUGGGUCAGACAGUCACUGAUAUAGGCAUUGAAGGUAGCCCUGGCCCCUGUACCCUUGGUCUUCAGCAUCUUUGGACUCAAGCCUCUCUGGAAACUAGCAAUCUUUUUAGCCUCCGUGUUCACAAACUCCGGGGCAUAGCGAGCGAGAUUGUUGAAAGCGUGUAGAUACUCCUUCACCGAUUUCGUCCCCUGGGACAGCCUCAUGAACUCCCCAACCUUCAUUUCAACCACACCCGGAGGAAUAUAAUUUCCUCGAAAAGCAGUGGUGAAGCGGUUCCAGGUGAUUGGGGUCCCCUCUGGGUAGGUGGUACGGUGAUGGGAUCACCAAAUCCCAGCGGGUCCUUGCAACUGAUGUGCCGCAUACUCAGCCUUAAGUUCUUCUGUCAUUCGGAGAAGACGAAACUUCAGCUCCAUAGUGUUGAUCCACUCAUCUGCCUCGAGCGGUUCCAAAGCCUCUUUGAAGAUUGGUGGCUUGGUAUCCAUGAAGUCCUUGAACAAACUGUACUGAUUGACUUCACGGCCACCCUGAUUAUCCCCACGACGGGUGUUGUCAGCUAUGUUGCGCAGAGCCUCUUCCAUGUUGCGCUGCAUCUGUUACAUGUUGCACUGGCUCCCCAGAAACUGCGCGAAAAACAAAUCAGCAGUGUAUGGAGGAGGCGGUGGUGGUGGCGGUGUUGGUGCUCUGUCCUCAUUCCGUUGAGCCCCACCUCCGGAUGUACCUGCUCCAAGACCCGGAUUGUUGUUACCCCCGCCACGUGUUUGCACCAUCUGCAUACGUCAAUGAUAAGCAAUCGUUAGGAGUUGCCAUCAACGGUAGAAAUGUGUAGAAUCAUGCCGUACUGAAUUUACUGAGGGAAUAAAUUCGCACAAUAAAUAGAGGCACAACAAUUCAUCAUCUACGCACAACAUCACUAACAGAUUACUUAACGUUCACGCAACAAGGUUCGCGUACAUCCAACUUGCCAGCAUACAUACACUGGACUUUCGGCAUUAGCUCAUAAGUCUUACAUAGCCCAGAUCCAAAAGUACAAGACAUGCCAUGCAACAUACAACAGCAAAAGAAGAGUGACUAGCUCUAGAGCCCUAGCAUCUAGUCACUAUGAUCACUGUCCAUGCCGGAGCCAUCCUCAUCCUCAUCUCCACUAGAAGCUGCUCCUAUCGUGGGAUCCGCAUCCAUCUCGUCCUCAGAGUAUAGCUCAGCUGCUCCAGGCAGGUGGUGAGGGUGGAGCCGGUUAUGCAGCUGGUGGAUCUCCUCAUGCAAGUUCUCAUUGUACUCCUCGGCAUUAGCUAGCUGCUGCUCUAGCUCUAGCUGUCGGGCCCUCAAAGUGUCCUCCUCGUGCCAGGCUUCAUUCCUCUGACCAAGCACAUGGACUAGCUGUUGGGUAUUCUUAACAUCAUUACCAAAAGUAGACUAAGUUCUCUAAAUCUAGUAACGGUGCCAAAAAUGCCAAACCUAUCCCUCACACCACUUAAGCCAAGUUGUCAUCCCCAGUAUGAUAUAAGAGACGCGGUAUUGAAAUAUGCAAUUGCUCUUCUAAAUAAAUAAUAAAUGGGAUCUGCAAGCGCACAGAUUAAUACCGAUGCAGCAUUUUAACCGGGAAGUAUUCCAGGUAUCGUUAUUUAUAUUUUUACCACUGGGAAGGGAUUAGCAAUCAUCACUAUUGAUUACAGAAUAGAAUAUGAGAUUGAGCAUCUAUCAUUGCAUGUAUAAUUGAGAACAUUUAUCUAACUCUUCACACAGAGAUAAGUGUCACAUAAAAGAUAUAUGAAAUAAUAAUAGUGACAAGGAUAACUAAUCUGAUCUAGCCACAUAAUAAAUAUGAUAAGCACCUCAAUUAGAUACUCUAGAAAGUCAUUAGCAUGGUAUUAGAACGAACUACAAGAAUAUUCCCUAAGUUAUUCUCAACUAUAUAGUCUAGCAUUAUCAUAAUUAGUGCAAGCAUACUUAGCAAUCAUUGCGAGACAAGACUACGCCCAUGCAUAGUGAUAUUAGCAAGGAAUAUGAGAAACAUAGCAAUCACUCCUGUUGACGGUUCUUAAGUAUCAAUUUUAAUUAUCGAAUAAACAAGAGAAAGGACCAAUAUGCAACCAUCACCAAGAAUUAGGGUUUGAUCUGACAGAAUUCCACGAGUUUUGUUGUUUAUCUGUUUCUGCAGGGGGUUAUCAGGAAAUAAGGAAGAAAGGCCCACAUGUCGGGAUUACAUACAGAUAUCAACGCAUCGCGUAAUUUUUCAUCAUCUAGAAGACUCCAGAAGCCACGAGACCGAAGCGGAGGCGAAACUGGGCCUGGCCCAGGGCGCCCGCCCUGGUAGCCUGGGCGCCCGCCGCCCUGUUGGAGCCAAAUCAGGACUCUUUCGCUCGAGAUAUUCCACCGACCUAUUGGAUCAAGAAAAACAUAGUACCACCUCGCCUAUCGACCCAAAAACGCAUAGAAGGGGAGGACUAUAUAAGCAAGGCCCCCUGGCCCCUAGAGAAGACAUGAAGAAAUUAUCAUAGAGACCGAGGGGUGCCCUCGAAGGAAAACCUCUUCUCUAAUUAAUAUUUCUUUUUAGGCUUAGCAAUCAAUGUAAGGUAGAAAUAGAUCUUCUAGUUUCUACUAGAUUGAGAGAGAUAGAGUGAAGGUGUAGAUUGGAGGAAGCCCGGCCUGUCGGUGUCUACUCCAAGCUUGUACCUGCGGGAUCAAGUUCUCCUAACCCGAAGCUUGCUCCUAGGAUUCUUCAGUAAUUCGACUUCUAAAUUCUAGUAAGUUCUUGUUUUAUUGUUCUUUUGGUUUAUGAGUUUACUUUAAUCUCUUCGCGUAGAGUUUAGAGUAAUCAUUGCUGGCGUAAACGUGGUGUUUAGGCUGGGGUACUCAUAGAUAUUCCCUGACUAGCUGGACCGUGGUAGUAGUGAGGAACGUGACAAUUCCGAGCUACCUUUGUAGAUCACAUCUCGUUAGCAGGAAGGAUAGGGUUUAUAGGUGCGGGUUGAACAUCCUUUGUGGUGUCUAGAUUCCGUUAGCCUCCCCAUUAGAACAGUAGAUCAUCCUUACCAAGGUUAGAAGGAGACUACAGUUGCAGUCUUCUCUAUUUAUCACUCACAUCGAAAGACAUUCUUUGUGCCUAAAGGUUAGUAGUAAUAGACCGGUUAGUCAGAUGCACUCUUUCUCCUAGUGGUAAAAAAAUAAACACAAUACUCUCGAUAACCUCCCGGGUGAAGUGCUCACCGAUAUCCGUGCGCUUGCGGAUCAAUUCCUUAUUGCGUUCCCAAAUAUCAACAAGCAUUUCUGGCGCCGUUGUCGGGGAGAAAGACGGUUGCUGAGAUAACCUGUGUCUUGCUACUAGCUUGUAUCUAUACUUUUAUCUUUUCUUAUCUUUUAUAUCCUUUAUUUAUUUUCUUUAUUCUUACCUUAUGGAAAACCAAAAUUCUAAAUCGAUCCAUGAGUCUACAAUCCCUUUAGCAACUGACCUUUUACCAUGGGAAUCAUCACAGCCUAUCCAAACAUCCCAGUAUAAGUUAAGUUCUAGGUUGAUUGCCAUGAUUCAAAACCUAUCUUUUUCGGGAAAGGAAGACGAAAACCCUUACCUUCAUAUUAGAGAUUUUGAGCAAACAUGUGAUUGUCUUCGCAUUGAAGGCAUUUUUGAUAAGACUUUACGUUGGAAGCUUUUUCCUUUUUCUCUAAGGGGAGAAGCUAGACAAUGGUACAGUCAGAAGGUAAGUCAACAACAAGGUGAAUGGGGAGUUUUACGAGCCAACUUUUGUCUAGAUGUCUAUUCCCUUGACCGUAUAGCCGACCUUAGACUCGAAGUCCUAUCUUUUAAACAAAAAGAUAAUAAAACUUUGGGAAAAUCCUGGAAACGUUUUUCUGAUCUUUUAGAAUCUGGUCCAAACCUUAAUCUUGAAGACCCUGUUCUUUUAUUUCACUUUUUUCGAGGUCUUCAGAAAAAUCACAAACAAAUGCUUCACACAAUGUCUAGAGGUUCUUUCUUUCGCAUCCCUGCUGAUGAAGCUAGAGUGAUCCUAGAUAGAAUCCUAGAAGCUGAGAUGGAUAAUACCCUUCAUGAUGAAACCUACGAAGCCGAAGUAGACACUCUGCCAAAUUCUUCAUCUACUUUAGCUAUCCCAAGUUCUGAGCCACAAGAGGAAGAAAUUCCACUACCGGACUUCAUGCUGGAUAUAGAAUCCGAUCUUUUUGCCGAUUUUGGAAAUAUUUCAAACUACCAUUCUAUUGACAAACCCAAAACGGCCAGUUUAGCAUUUAUUUACCAAGUGAAUAUCAAUUGAGAGAGCUUAUCUCAGUAAUGAGUAGCGAAUGGUUGGAGGAAUCAGAGCUUUCCUCUGAUGUGAUCCGUUUGGACACACCCUCUAUAACUAUACGCUGUGCUUAUAAUUCUAAUCGAUUUAAUGCUCUCUAUAAUCCUGUUGUGGGGAUCAACAUUAUGUCUGAAUCCUUUGCACUUAAACUAUUUAAAAAUCUUGUCUUAACCCCCACAACAAAGGUCAUAAAGGAAUCUUCGGGACGAUUGGUCCCCAGUCUUGGAAUUAUUAAUGUCCUACCUCUCACGGUAGAAGGCUCCAUGGUUCAUUUGAACUUCUACACUACAAAAAUUGUGGGCUUCUGUGACAAUUAAACUAUGACGAUAAGAGUCUGUUUCCUGUCACUGCCUACCUACAGAGAUGAAAUGACUGUCGUCACAGAAGGUGGGUCACUAACCAGCUUCUGUGACGACUAGAGGAUAUCGUCAUUAAUAUAGUGACGUUAGUUCUCCUGUCAUUAAUAUAAUGACAAUACUGAACUCGUCAUAACAUAUUGAAUAGAAUAGGGCAUUGGCCCAUUUAGUUUUUAGUGUUCUUUGAGCCCCUGUUUUUUUCCCAAAAUCAGUCCAUUUUUCUCAAAUUAACCAGACCAUUUUUUUAUAGCAACAUUAAUUAGAUUUUUCGGCCCACAACCCACACAAAUUCACAUGCUGGGCCUUAUUUUUAUUUGGUUAGCCCAUUAACAUUUAUAAGCAUAGACAUUGCAGAAAUAUAUCUUAACAGUAUAUGAUAACAGCAAUUACAUAGGAAAAAUGUAUCAGAUUCUCUACCAUCAUCCAAAACAUGAAACUAACAUCAGCUAUAACUUAACACAAGUGCUACAAUUACAAAAUGCUAGCAGAAAGCUAUUCUGCACGAAUGCACGCUUCACUUGGCUCAUGAAAAUGUUAUGUCACUUGUAGCAAUCUUCUUCGCCAUGAUUUCUACACUGCAAAUUUGAAAUUGGCACCUCAAUGUUCCUGUGAAGUAAACCAACCAGAAUUAGAGAUUUGUACUCAUGAAAUGGAAUUAGUCAUGUAGAACAAUAGAAUUCACACGAAACUACAAACUUCACAUGCCAGCAGUCGAUAGUGGCAACUAUAUUUUUUAGAUAAUGGAAAAAUAGCUCCAGCCUUAAACUAGAAUGAAACUGAACUUCCAAUCUCAUGCUUACAAGAGGAAUACAGUAACAUAGUAGCGGACUCAGGGUGAUAGACGAUAAUCUUUCACUAGUUAGUAAUAUAAUAGCACAAAUAAUUCAUCCAACACCCACUUCUUUUAGUGUUUCACAUAUGGACUUGAUAACAGUUAAUUCAAACUCAGCCACUGCCAUAAUCACACUCACAGUUCACAGCCAUGUUGUAUACCAAUGGCAGUCCAUUGUCCAGAAAUAUAUGCAUUCAGUUUUCAGAAAUACUUGAUGAAUAGUCCAUAAGCAUUCAUUCAGAAAUACUUGUAUGAAACCUAUUAAGACAAUAGAAUAGUCCACAAUAAGCACCAUUUUGACAGAAUAAUGGGUUGUUUUCAGAACUUAGAUUCUUGCAGCAGAAAAACAUUGCACAUAAAUUUGUAAAAUAGAACCUGAUGCUUAUCUACAACUUAUUUUUUUGAGGUUUCAAGUUCAAUCAAUCACACAGUAGACUGAUAAGGCAUAUUUUAAUAACACAUUUCCUCCUAAGCCUCUAUAUCUAAAAUUUUGCUGCACACGACUAAUGUAGCCUGAACUGAACAUGCUGCCUACCAUCCAAAAUUCCUCCUAAUUAUCAUGCAAAUCUAGUAGGGUAAAUGAAAAAUUAACAAGCCUCUGAGGCAUAACCAGUAGAGCACUUACAAGUAUGCACGAGUAUACCAAUGAUGCCAGAUCUAGAACAACAAUUAACUAGACAACACAACCUCAAUCUACAGUCAGAGAGGACAUGACCAAAAGGGGGGACGUGAUUGCUUAUCUCGCUAGGGUUUCGACCCAGCAUGUCUUUGAGACCCAUCGUCUCCUCUCAGGCGACCUGUGAGAGCCGCCGACACUCAUCCGCGAGCCUCCACGCAGGGGUCGUGGCCGCGUCGUGGUCGAUGCGCACGUCGGGGCCGAGCCUCCACGUCGCGCGGACCCCAUGCAGCGAGCGUAGGCGCACGGGCCAUAUGCGGGGCCGUGGCCGUGCCGCUCGCGCCCGCUUAAGGCCGCACACGGAUCUGACCUCCGUGCUGUCCGUGGGCCACGGCCGCGCCAUGAGCCGUGCGCUCGCGCUGAGUGCCGCUGCAGGGCCAUCCAGGCCGGCCACGCGCCGUGAGGCUCCACGUGGGGCUACCGAGGCCUUGCUGCCCACCACCAGCAUGGCAAGCGGCGGCGCCUGUGCAUUUCUGCCUUGAUGGUCGCUGAGCUUCAGGCCAGUUAGUCACGGCCGCCCUCUCCUCCUGUUGAGUGGUCUGCGGCUGGAGCAGGGAAGAGGGAGUGGGAAACUGAGGAUAAGUUUAGGGUUUCAUCCUUUUAUAUGUGGAUUUUUUGGUCCAAACGAAUCACAACCGUUGGAUCGAUUUGGAUGGCUCAGAUGAGUUCACAUUAGGGUUUCUUUGUUGGGCCAAAAUUUAAGCUUUUCAGGGAGCCGGCUGGGCCAAGCAGGCCGCGCGCGGCUCACUCUGCAGUGCCGCUGCUGGGCCAUUUUUAGCCAGUGGCGAAAUUUCAGUUUUAAUAAUUGCAGAAUUUGUUUUUUUAUUUGUUAUUUCCAUCAGCACUUUAUUUUUAGUAACUUUAAGUUAAUUUAAUUCAGUUAUAAGUUUAUAUUUUAUAUAUAUUUAUUCGCUGAAAAUAAACAAAUAGAGAGUAAACUGAAAGUUAAGUUUUCGAUGGGUUUUUAUACCAUGAGUAAACUGUAUGUUAUUGGAACUUUUUAAUAGUUAUUUUCCCUUUUAAUUUUUUUUAAAAAUAAAAUAGACAAAAACAUGUUCGAACCCCCUUAUACACCUGUUUUUUUGAUUGGUUUUCCCUACCAUCCAGGUAGCAUAUAGAAGUCAGAACGCUUAAAUAACAAGGUUCAAGACCAAACGCCACAUAUUUUAUAUACCAGUUUUUCUUUUUUUUUAAUGUUUUUUCUUUCCAUCCAGACUCUGCAGAACAAAUGAAUUCAGCUCAUCUAGUUUACCAUACCAAAAGGGCAUGUGUUCAAAGCUAGUCAAAAUGCCAUUUUUUGUUUUUCUUUUUUGAAAAUUUUUCCAUCAAUCCUAAGACUUAGAGCUGACGUGGACGGAAAAAGUUCACCUAGAACACAUGAUGUGUUGACCAGCAGCUAUGUAGAAUAAGAUAAUAUUUUUUUUUAAAAAAGUAUAGUAGUCCUAUAUUUUAUGACGAUCAACUAUUGUUAUGAUCUAUCAUCGCAAAGGCCAUGCUGAGUAUACUGUGAUGAUGUUUAUGACGAACACACAGCUUGGUCACAGACAGUUGUCAUCAUAUGAACAAUCGUCAUAAACAACCUCUGUUUAUGACAAAUAGAUGCUCUGUCAUCUGGCAAUCGUCAUAGAAGCCCAGAUUUCUUGUAGUGCUAUAUCUUUGAUACAUGGGACUUCGACCUGUUGAUAGGACAACCUUUUAGAAGACUCCUUUAUGAAGGUCAUACUGGAAAGCUACACAUUUCUUUUGGAAAAACCUUUAAAUUCCCAAUAAUAAUUUCACACUCCUUAAACAAUAAGGCCGAGUCAUAUCUUUUGCCUGAUCCUAUGGAGGAAGUAAAGGCUGCAUCUCUAGAGCUUUUAGAUGAACCAGACUUAGAAGACGAAACUCCUUUCUUCACUGAAGAAGAAGAUGAACCUUCUGAGCCUGAACCCUUAGAUGAGUUUGCAGAAACACCUAGACCCCCCAUAGAACUUAAAACUUUACCACCCGGUCUUACCUAUGCUUUCCUAAACAAUAAUCCAGAGUUCCCUGUGAUCAUUAGCGAUAAACUCACUCAGGAUCAAACUCUGCGAUUAAUGACCAUCCUUGAGAAACAUCACUCGGUUUUUGGCUAUUCACUUCAAGAUCUUACAGGAAUCAGUCCUAUGAUUUGUACACAUCGUAUUCCAACAGAUCCUUCUGUUACACCCUCUCGAGAACCCCAACGUAGACUUAACAACACUAUGAGAGAGGUAGUUAAAAAGGAAGUUAUAAAGUUGCUGCAUGCAGGGAUUAUAUAUCCUGUGCCGCACAGUGAGUGGGUGAGCCCAGUACAAGUUGUGCCCAAAAAGGGAGGCAUGACAAUUAUUAUGAAUGAAAAGAAUGAGCUAAUUCCGCAACGCACCGUCACAGGAUGGCGGAUAUGCAUAGACUAUAGAAAACUAAAUAAAGCCACGAGAAAGGAUCACUUUCCUUUACCUUUUAUAGAUGAGAUGCUAGAGCGGUUAGCAAAUCAUUCGUUCUUCUGUUUCUUAGAUGGAUACUCAGGAUAUCACCAAAUCCCGAUCCAUCCCGAUGAUCAAAGCAAAACACUUUUACAUGCCCUUAUGGAACUUAUGCUUACCGUAGAAUGUCUUUUGGGUUAUGUAAUGCACCAGCUUCUUUUCAAAGAUGCAUGAUGUCUAUAUUUUCUGAUAUGAUUGAAGAGAUUAUGGAAGUUUUCAUGGAUGAUUUCUCUGUUUAUGGAAAAACUUUUGAUAGUUGUCUUGAAAACUUAGACAAGGUUUUGCAAAGAUGUGAAGAAAAGCACUUAAUCCUUAAUUGGGAAAAAUGUCAUUUUAUGGUUAGAGAAGGAAUAGUGCUAGGACACUUAGUGUUUGAAAGAGGUAUUGAGGUAGACAAAGCUAAAAUUGAAGUAAUUGAACAACUACCUCCACCUGUGAAUAUAAAAGGAAUUCGAAGAUUUCUUGGCCAUGCUGGUUUUUAUCGUAGAUUCAUAAAAGAUUUUUCAUUUAUUGCUAGACCACUUACUCUUUUGCUAGCCAAGGAUGCUCCUUUCGAAUUUGAUGAUGCAUGUCUACCAUCUUUCAAUUUAUUAAAGAAAGCACUCAUCUCUGCACCAAUCAUUCAACCCCCUGAUUGGUUGUUGCCUUUUGAAAUUAUGUGUGAUGCUAGUGAUUAUGCUGUGGGGGCAGUAUUGGGACAAACUAAAGAUAAGAAGCAUCAUGCAAUUGCUUAUGCCAGUAAAACUCUGACAGGAGCUCAACUUAAUUAUGCAACCACUGAAAAAGAGCUUCUGGCUGUUGUCUUUGCCAUAGAUAAAUUUAGAUCUUAUUUAGUUGGAGCUAAAAUAAUUGUUUACACUGAUCAUGCUGCACUAAAAUAUUUGCUCACUAAAAAAGAUGCUAAACCUCGCCUGAUUAGAUGGAUCUUAUUACUCCAAGAAUUUGACUUAGAAAUAAAAGAUAAAAAGGGAGUAGAAAAUUCUGUUGCUGAUCACUUGUCUAGAAUGUAUUUUAAGAGUCCACAGGAAACCCCCAUCAAUGAUUCACUCCGGGACGACAUGCUCUACGGGAUUAACAGGUCUGACCCCUGGUAUGCAGAUAUUGUUAAUUUUAUGGUUUCAGGGUUUGUACCACCAGGAGCAAACAAGAAGAAGCUUCUUCAAGAAAGUCGUUCACAUAUAUGGGAUGAGCCAUACCUCUUUCGAGUAUGCUCUGAUGGCUUACUCAGGAGAUGUGUGACCACUGAGGAAGGAUGGAAGAUCAUCGACAGAUGUCAUUCAUCACCAUAUGGAGGUCACUAUGGAGCAUUCCGUACACAUUCAAAGAUCUGGCAGUGUGAAUUCUAUUGGCCUACAAUGUAUGAAGACACGAAGCAAUAUAUUAGAAGAUGUGGGCCAUGUCAAAGGCACGGAAACAUAAAUACAAUGGAUGCAAUGCCACUCACCAACAACCUUCAGAUUGAGCUCUUUGAUGUCUGGGGAAUAGACUACAUGGGUCCAUUUCCUCCAUCAAAGAAGUGUGAGUACAUCUUGGUGGCAGUUGACUAUGUCUCCAAGUGGGUAGAGGCAUUACCUUGCAAGCAUGCCGACAACGUCAGUUCAAAGAGGAUGUUUGAAGAAAUUAUAUUUCCAAGAUUUGGAGUCCCCAGAGUAGUGAUAAGUGAUGGAGGAGCACACUUCAUCGACAAACGCUUCAAGCAAUAUCUAUCAAGACAUGGAAUCCGUCACAACGUCACUACCCCUUAUCAUCCUCAGACAAGUGGCCAAGCAGAGACUUCCAACAAACAAAUCAAGAAUAUUCUUCAGAAGACAGUAAAUGAAAUGGGAACGGCGUGGAAAGACAAGUUACCCGAUGCACUCUGGGCAUACCGGACAGCAUACAAGACCCCAAUUGGAAUGUCUCCAUACCAAUUGGUGUACGGGAAGACUUGCCAUCUACCUGUUGAACUAGAGUUCAAAGCACACUGGGCCAUAAAGAGAUGGAAUAUGGACCUGGAUGUUGCUGGAGAUUAUAGAAGAAUGCAACUAUCAGAAUUGGAAGAAUGGCGAGAGAAGGCAUAUCACAAUUCAAAAAUCUACAAAGAAACAGUCAAAAGGUGGCAUGACAAGAGAAUCAAGAAGAAGGAGUUCACACCCAGAGAUAAGGUAUUACUUUUUAAUUCUAGGGUGAAGCUUUUCGGGCAUGGAAAACUCCGGAGCAAAUGGGAAGGACCAUUCAAGGUAAUCAAUUCAUCAUCCCACGGAGCUAUCACACUUCAAAAUAGCGAAGGUAAGUUAUUCAAGGUAAAUGGUCAACGUCUUAAAUUAUUUUUAGAGCCUAAUGAGGAAUUUGAAGAAAUAGACGUAGUCCAUUUUUACCUUCCCAUGGAGAAAUAGAGCCCGACACUUUUGGUCUGAUGGUUUUGGGUCAUAUAUAUAUUUUUCUAAAUAAUUUCGCAUCUAGAAACACGCUCGGAGAAGUGAGCCCACAUAGGGGCCAGAGAGAGGGCGGGCGCCCAGCCCCUGUUCCCCCUCGGUCUCGACUUUCUCUGUUAUGGAAAAUGCACUUAGGGUGAUCCGAAUAAUCCCUCGGAUGGAAAGUUUUGCACGCACAUCGACGGGAGCAACCCGAACAACCCAUAGAGGCACCCUUUUGACCCCUAUAUAAACAGACCCCUGACCUCAGUUUUCGAACACCAAGCCACCGAGCUUUCUCUCCUUCAAUUAGAGCUUGAUUAGCUCUCCAUCAAUUAAAAUUUUAUUAGUUCCUUGCUACUCCAAUGGCCGAGAAGUACCACGAUGAUUGGGAAGUCGUCCCCUUCAACCUCAACAUAGAACCUAUGGAAGACCCCGAUGCCCGUGCUCUCGUCCCGGCCAACACAGAGCGUCAGCUAGAAGCCAUGCCAUUACACCAACGCAGCUCCGCCCAAUCUUACCAUGCUCAACCAGUUCUCACCGCACCACCACAACCCCUACUCCUUAAAGGAUCAUCAUCCAAAAUGAAGACCACUAUCAAGGUGCCAAUCGGCACAAGGAUCCUUCCACCUAGACCCAAUGAGAGGGUCGUUGGAGUCAAGACCAACCGAAGCGGCGAGAUCAACAGCGUACGCUACACUACGGAGGAGGAAAGGCCUUACUUUGAAGGGAUUAGAGCAGCCAAAGUCCGUUUCGUCCCUCCAAAGGCAGCCCCGAAGCACUCUCUCAGUGCUUUUGAGACACCUCCCAAGCGUCGCAAGACUAUAAUGGAUAUUGAUGAGGAAGUUCGCAGGCUAGAUAGAGUUAUCAUAGACCUCCAGUCCUCGAUUAAUUCCCUUACUAGGCAGCUCUCUAACCACAACACUAUUAUACUAGGCCUUAGGCAGGAUCUUGCCAGUGCCAACAAGAAGAUCAAGGAAUUAGAGCGCCGUUAAGUUAUCUAGAUUAGACCUUGAGGCAAUGCAUCUUAAUUAUUUAUCUUUAAAUUCAGUUUAAGUUUGCUAUUAUCAUCAGUUUACUAUUAUUAUCAGUUUGCUAUCAGUCUUUUGUACUAAAUGCCUCAAGAUCAAUAAAGAGUAUUAUUAUUACUAUGUCUUGUGUGUCUCUACUUUAUUUUUGUGCAAGAAAGUAGAAAACAAGUAUGGGGGAGAUCCCUCGACAUGCUAAACACACUCCGACUACACCACUCCUCAAUUCAGGUACACACUUUGCACACUUUACUUUGCACAUACAUUUAUUCUGGAUUAUGCAGAUUACUGUUUCCGACAUGAUAAAAUAAAAGGAUUAAAAUAUUUCUAAUCAUGAUUAAUCUCAAUCUGUGAUAUUUCCUAAAAACUUGCAAUUAUUAUAAAAUCAUUUUAAAACCCUGUGUUACUUAAGUCAAUUGGAAUAUGUGAUGAUAGAGUAUGAGUUUCUUAUUCUUGAUAUCAUUGUUGCUUGGAGAAUUUAUUUCAAAAUAUUCAAAUUUCUAGCUACCAUCCUCAGUGUUUUAUAUGCUUGAUAAAACUGAAAAUAUUAAUUAUGAUUAUAAAAGCUAUCUGCUCUGUAUUGAGUUUGUUCAAAAUGAGUUAGACCCUUGUUGAGAGAUUUAUCAUGCUCCUAAGAUCAAGACAUUAUUUCAGUAAGAUUCACUCUUCCGAAGUAUUAUUGCAUUAGAGGCAUGGGCUAUGCAAAAAUAGAAAUAUUUCGAGGAAAUAAAAAGGAGCAAAUGCUCGACAACCUCGCAGAAAAAUGAACAAGUGUCCGGCAGUAGAAUUAGGGGUACCUCAGUAUCCACUAAAAAAAUGAUAGCCCAUGGUCCCUCUAAUAAGCAAUAUGCCAGCAAGAGUUGACAAAGUUUUUAAUUUCCAAAGUCUUUGAUCUAAGAGUAUGACAUUUCCCUCCUCGGAUCCCGUUUUGAUCAGGCAAUAAAUGCAAAGUAAGUAUGCUUGAGAAUUUUUGCAAAAUAAAACAGCCUCGGUGAGAUAUAUAUAAAAGAUAAUGAGUGAUCUGAGAGAACCUAUGAGGAUAAAAAGGUAUGCUAACUUUCUUUCAAAAAUAUACAAAAGCUCCAAGUGGCAGGAUUGAGAAGAAAGGAUCUUUACUCUUAACCAUAUACAUCCCUGACUAUGGUACACAGUGAAUUUUUAACACCCUGCAAUUAUAAAGAGAAUGCUUAAAAUGUUUACCCCAGAUAUUUUUCUUAACCAUCCUUUUCUCGAGGACGAGUAAAAGCCUAAGUAUGGGGGUAUUUGUUGACGGUUCUUAAGUAUCAAUUUUAAUUAUCAAAUAAACAAGAGAAAGGACCAAUAUGCAACCAUCACCUAGAAUUAGGGUUUGAUCUGACAGAAUUCCACGAGUUUUGUUGUUUAUCUGUUUCUGCAGGGGGUUAUCAGGAAAUAAGGAAGAAAGGCCCACAUGUCGGGAUUACUUAGAGAUAUCAACGCAUCGCGUAAUUUUUCAUCAUCUAGAAGACUCCAGAAGCCACGAGACCGAAGCGGAGGCGAAACUGGGCCAGGCCCAGGGCGCCCGCCCUGGUAGCCUGGGCGCCCGCCCCCCUGUUAGAGCCAAAUCAGGACUCUUUCGCUCGGGAUAUUCCACCGACCUAUUGGAUCAAGAAAAACGUAGUACCACCUCGCCUAUCGACCCAAAAACGCAUAGAAGGGGAGGACUAUAUAAGCAAGGCCCCCUGGCCCGUGGAGAAGACAUGAAGAAAUUAUCAUAGAGACUGAGGGGUGCCCUCGAAGGAAAACCUCUUCUCUAAUUAAUAUUUCUUUUUAGGCUUAGCAAUCAAUGUAAGGUAGAAAUAGAUCUUCUAGUUUCUACUAGAUUGAGAGAGAUAGAGUGGAGGUGCAGAUUGGAAGAAGCCCGGCCUGUCGGUAUCUACUCCAAGCUUGUACCUGCGGGAUCAAGUUCUCCUAACUCGAAGCUUGCUCCUAGGAUUCUUCAGUAAUUCGACUUCUAAAUUCUAGUAAGUUCUUGUUUUAUUGUUCUUAUGGUUUAUGAGUUUACUUCAAUCUCUUCGCGUAGAGUUUAGAGUUAUCAUUGCUAGCGUAAACGUGGUGUUUAGGCUGGGGUACUCAUAGAUAUUCCCUGACUAGCUGGACCGUGGUAGUAGUUGUUGAUAUUUGGUAACGCAAUUAGAAAAUGAUCCGCAAGCGCACGGAUAUCGGUGAGCAUUUCACCCGGGAGGUUUUCUAGAGUAUCGUAUUUAUAUUUUUACCACUGGGAGAAAUGGUGCAUCUGACUAACCAAAUCUAUUGCUACUAUCCCUUUAGGCUACAAAGAAUGUCUCUCGAUGUGAGUGAUGUAUAGAGAAGACUGCAACCGUAGUCUCGUUCUAACCUUGGUAAGGAUGAUCUACUGUUCUAUUGGGGAGGCUCACGGAAUCUAGACAACACAAAGGAUGUUCGACCCGCACCUAUAAACCUACCCGUCCUGCUAACGAGAUGUGAUCUGCAAAGGUAACUCGGAAAUGUCACGUUCCUCGCAACUACCACGGUCUAGCUAGUCAGGGGAUAUCUAUGAGUACCCUAGCCUAAACACCACGUUUACGCUAGCAAGUGAUUACUCUAAUACUCAACCGGAAGAGGAUUAAAGUAAACUCAUAAACCAAAGAACAAUAAAACAAGAACUUACUAGUAUUAGAAGUCGAAUUACUGAAGAAUCUUAGAAGCAAGCCUCGGGUUAGGAGACUUGAUCCCGUAGGUACAACUCGGAGUAGACACCGACAGGCCGGCCUUCCUCCGAUCCACACCUCCACUCUAUCUCUCUCAAUCUAGUAGAAACUAGAAGAUCUAUUUCUACUUUACAUUGGUUGCUAAGCCUAAAAAGAAAUAUUAUUUAGAGAAGAGGUUUUCCUUCGAGGGCACCCUUCAAUCUCUAUGAUAAUUUCUUGUCUCCUCCAGGGGCCAGAGGGGGUCUCCUUAUAUAGUCCUCCCCUUCUAUGCGUUUUUGGGUCGAUAGGCGAGGUGGUACUAUGUUAUUCUGGAUCCAAUAGGUCGGUGGAAUGUCGUGUGCGAAGAGAGUCCGGAACGGAGUCCAGAGGGGGGCGGGCGCCCAGGUCCUCAGGGCGGGCGCCCUGGGCCUGGCCCCUUUCGGGCUCCGCUUCCUUCCCGUGGCUUCUGGAGUCUUCUAGAUGGUAGAAAAUUGUGCGGUGCGUUGAUAUCUCUAUGUAAUCCUGACAUGUGGGCCUUUCUUCCUUAUUUCCUGAUAACCCCCUGCAGAAAUAGACAAACACCAAAACUCGUGGAAUUCUGUCAGAUAAAACCCUAAGUCUAGAUGUUGAUUUCAUUUGGAUCCUUUUCUUUGUUUAUUUGAUAAUUAAAUUUGAUACUUAAGGACCGUCAACAAACUCCCCCAAGCUUACCUCUAGCUCGUCCCUGAGCAAGGAUGAACUCAAGAGUUUCUGCAGUGGUUUCAUAUCUUAGAAGUACACACGCAUUUAAGCAAGAUCUCAUCUCUGAGUUAGAAUAAACUGUUUAGACUUAAAACUUACUUACUUUACCUACACCAUAGGACUUGUAACCGUCACUUCUGUCUUGAGUGGUUAAAAGAUAGAACAGUCUAGCCAAGUGCCAUGUCUCUUAUUCUUGAUCAGCUAUAGCUCUGGUGUUUUUUGAAGAUUUUCAAAUAAAACAUAGAAAUUCCUUGUAUGAUUCUCUCAGGUCUCUCUUUUGUGGUAUUUUUGGAUCCUUACCAAGGCAGUGAUGGUAUAUGUCUUCUCUCAAAAUAUGUAGUAUUUGUGGUAUGAAGCAUAGUGUCAUUGUCUUCUCUCUCACCCUACUCUAAUAAGGCUUUAAUACCUGAAGCUCAUAGGUGGGAGAUAAAGUAUACAUACUUACAAGACAUUUAUUGCAUAGUCAAACUAUGGAUCCAAAGAAACAAAUCAAUAAGCCAAAUCAAGAUGUGCAUGUGUGGCGAAUGAAUGGUGUAUGUUGAUGACGGUGAUAACAAUGGUGGUGGAAGCCUAAUUCUACUUUGCUCUUUGAGGGGAUACAUACCUUCCUUGCUUUUGAAACUUUAUGAGGAGAAUGAGAUGCUCUUCUUUUUCUUUUCUUUCGAGGUUCCGAGCACUUGCUCCUUUUUAUUUCCUCGUAUCUUUUAUUUUCUUUUUCUCUUUUUUUUUCAGAGCAUUCAUCUCUUGAGAUAAUAUAGCAAGUGGUAGUAACAAGAUAACUUGAGCAUUUAUUUCACAAGGGGAAACAGAAAUAUUUUUGGUUAUUCUCUCCCGGAUUAGGAGUAGAAUACUUUUGGGUGGUUUUGGAGAUGGAAAUGAGUGGAUAUAUGUGGAUGGUACUUCCGGAGUAGAAGUAGCAUGUAUGAGUGAACGUGCAAGUGAAUCUUGAUUUAACCACAUGACAAGCUCCUAAGGGUCUACACAGUUUGACCACACUCAAUGCGCAUAAGCAGUAAAUAGUAAAUGUGUGGCUCAAGGUCUAGCAAGCAUGUAUAUAUGGCUGUGGCAGGAAUUUAAACUCUCAUCAUACAGGAACUCAUCAUGUGUUAUUUUAAAGAUUUUUCAAAGAUAAAAUUCUCCAGAAUUCUAGUAUCUCUAGGAACAGAUAAACAUCAGCUCAACCUUCCUAUAUCAUAUCCGUUAACGACUUAGACUUUAGAUCAAGUACUCUUCCCACAAGUUUAGGUUUAGAGCAAGCUUUAGAUUAUAACAGUUAUGCCUAAACUUGAGAGAGAUUUCAAUUUUAAGAACUAGUCAUGGCAGAGCAACUAUUCAUCAUUUCCAUGAGAGAGCUUAUCAUGAGGGUUCAUAGCAAAUUUUAUUUAUUUAUUUAUUUAGCAAACUAAGCAAAGAUAUAUAUAAAAGCACAAAAUCUUUAUUUGGGUUUUUCAUAGUUUAUGUAUUUUAAUAUUCUAACAAAAUAUAAGUAUAAAGAUAGGUAGAAAUACUUAGCGAGAUAAAUGGGGGUGCUCUCCCCCAAGCUGGAUUUUGACGUAAUUUCUCUUGAUGUAGCUAGCAGGUGGCAGAGGUGUGUUUGAAAGUCAGCAGUAUUUUGACAGCGAUUAGAAUGUCCUCCGUCUGCUAGUCUUCUUGAUUCUUAAAUUCUGUGGAGCUCAAAUAGACAACAAAGCUUGUGGAACUGAUUAAGUGUUAGCAUAAAUAUCUAGCCUUUAUCAUGUUGAGACUCCUUAAUAAAUAUUACUCCCUGUUUUUAUAUUUUUGUUUUUAUAAAGCAGAAAAAUAUUUAUUUUAUUUUUAUGCCACCACAGUGAAUGUACUUAUGGGUUUUAUGCCACUCGUCUACUCACAUGGGGCUUACAAUUUUUUUUCACAUUUUUAUUUUCUUUCUAGGAUGAUACGAACAUGAUUAACUAAGUAAACUAUUUGAAAUAAUUAAAAGGGAAAGGAUAACUACCAAGUUUACCUCUUGGCAAGGCGUUCGGUGUUUUUAAGUCCUCCGAGCGGGACUAUCCAUUUUCUUAAUCGUCCUGAGGUUCGUUGGGUGGCGUAGUCGGUACUUCCGGCAGCGCCUCCUCUUCAUUUAUAACUAUCUUCUCUCUCCACACCUAACUCGGUGCUACGGUCUCCUCAGGACAGUUAUGUUCAAGUGGUAUGUCUUCAGUCCUUAUCACUUCUCCUUCGUAGUCUACCCAUCCGUCCUUGAUGAUUUGCCUCCUCUGGUUGCGGUUGCGAUGUCUUCUUCUUGUCCUGACCUGAUUAGAGUCUUCAACUAUAUAGUUAGGGUCAGUAAAACAGCGGCAUACCUUCUCAGAGGAGAAGUGUAUGUGGACUUCUCCAGUUCCAAUAUAGAUGAUGGCUUUGAUAGUGCUGAGGAACUGUCUUCCAAGGAUGGUGGGUGGAUCAUACUCGUCUUCUCCCAUGUCAAUGACCUGAAAAUCAUCUAUAGCUGAAUGUAUAUUUGUUGUAGGGGCAUGGUUUCAUCCAGGAGCUGAUAAGUGACUACGGCCAUUAUGUUGACGUCAGAUCCGGUGUCGUAGAGUGUCUUCUGAAAAGAGUAUCUGUUGAUUGUGCACUCAAUGCUUAGAACACUAGGGUCGUCCUUCUUGAACUGCAGUGACCAUCUUAGCUGACUCGGUCCACAUUUGCUUGUUCCUGUUCCUCUUGUUGGUCCUCUUCCUUGGUUCAUGUCGGGGUUGCUCUGAAGUUUGUGUAGUCUUGUUCUUGAAGGAAAGUCUCCUUCUUCCCCUUGAUGUAGAGACUGAUCUUGGCAGCAUUAGCGUAGAUGACAACUCUAGUGUUUAGGAAUGGCCUCCCUAAGAUGAUGGGUGCCCUCUCCUCAGUACCAGUCUCUAUCACCAUGAAGUCUGCUAGAGCAUACAAGGUACCAACUCGGACGCAGAGGUUCUUCAAUAUUUCCUUUGGGAAACUGAGUGUCCGAUCUGCAACCCUGGGCAUAAUGUUGACGCUGGAGCCAAAGUCGCAGAGUGCUUCUGGGAAGUCCACCAUGCCGAUGGAGAUCGGGAUGACGGGGCAUCCUAGAUCACCUCUUUGAGUAAUUAGGCCUCUGUUGAUUCCAACCUUGAUGUUGUUGAGGACGGUUGUAGUAAUAGUUGUUAUUGUUGUUGAUGUAGUUCACGUCCUCAAGCAUCUUAGGGCAGUGAUUGCCUGAGCGUCCAGUAUCUCCAGUGUGUUUGUGCUCGUAGAUCCUAGUUCUUCACUUGGUGG